AAAUACAAGGGUACUUUGCUUAUGGCGGUCGCACAGGACGGCAACAACAAUGCCUUUCCCAUUGCCUUUGCUUUGGUUGAAGGUGAAACGACUGGUGGAUGGGGUCCCUUUCUUCGACAUCUCAGAACGCAUGUGGCUCCACAAGUCAAUCUCUGUUUGAUUUCUGAUAGACAUGCUGCCAUUGAGAGUGCCUACAACAACUAUGACAACAGAUGGCAUGAUCCUCCUUCUACCUAUGUCUAUUGCAUUAGACAUAUUGCACAAAACUUCAUGCGUGCAAUAAAAGAUAAGAAUCUUCGCAAGUAGGUGGUGAAUGUUGGGUAUGCUCUAACUCAGCCGUCAUUUCAAUAUUAUCGUGAUGAAAUUAGACUGUCUAAUGAAGACGCGGGAAGAUGGUUGAAUAACAUACCAGUAGAGCGGUGGACAAAUGAAUUUGACAGAGGUUGUCGAUGGGGUCACAUGACAACAAACCUUGUGGAAUGCAUGAACGAGGUAUUCAAAGGAAUUAGAAAUCUGCCAAUAACCGCCUUGGUAAGAUCGACCUAUUAUAGGUUGGCUUCUACGUUCACAACCAGAGGUGAAAGAUGGAGUGUGGUGUUAAUGUCUGGGCAAGUAUUUAGUGAGUGUUGCAUGAAAGUCAUGAAAAAGGAGAGCAUCAAAGUUAGCACACACGCUGUAACAGUCUUUGACCGUCAUAGGCAAAAUUUCAGCGUCCAGGAAACAAUGGACCACAACGAGGGGAGACCAAAUUUAGCCUGUGCUGUUAGACUAAAUAGAAGUUGGUCCGACUGUGGAAAAUUCCAGGCCUUCCGCAUUCCUUGCUCCCAUGUCAUUGUAGCAUGCGCAUAUACUCGUCAAGAUGCUUACAGUCAUUUAUCUGAUGUGUACAAGACUGUCACCGUCAUGAAUGUAUAUAAUAAAAGCUUCUCGGUGCUACCAAUUGAGGAAUACUGGCCUCCAUACGAAGGUGAUAUAGUUUGACACAACGACGAGAUGCGUAGAAAGAAAAAAGGAAGACCAAACAACACACAUAUCAGGACAAAAAUGGAUUCGACAGAUAAAAUGAUAAGAUUAUGUAGUAUCUGUCGUCAACCAGGAGACACAAGAACAACUGUCCCAAUCGAGGAGCAUCAUCUGAGUCAUAAGCUUUUUGUAACAUUGUAUUUUUGUAACCUUCAAUUAUUAUAUAUCAUUAAUUUUUUGUUAAAACGAGGUUCACAACAAACAUCAGUACAAAAUAAGCUAACUGAAAACAGAAGUAUUUCUAACUGAUUACAACAAUCAAAGUGAUGUCAUCUCGAUCGAACAUCAUUUCCCUAGCAUCCUUAUCAGUUUUCAUUCGCACCUAACCAAAGAUACUAUCGAGUCUCUCAAUACUUUUAAUUUUUCCCCUUCUGGUAUUUUCCCAUCUAACCAACGAACCAACUCCCUCUUCAGUUGAUCAAACGUAGUGAUGUUCUAGAAGAGCAUCAGCACCUGAGGUUUGUCUCUCGCAUAAAUCACAUUUCCGUAUCGGCGACGAACACCAAACAUGAUUGCUAAAUGAUGAAAUGAGAUGUGAAAAAAUGAUUCACACAACACAUCUAUAUUUAUAACAAAAAAAAAAUUGUACUUUACACUAAGGUGUCAAUCCAAUUGGCAUCUUUUAUAAAAAUACACAUGGGCGCCAAUUGGAUUGACUGCACCAUAUUCCCUAACCAAUCCAAUUGGCGUCUCCACUCUAUUUUUAAGAGGAGUCGCCAAUUGGAUUGACGUCUCCUCCUAAAAGUGGGGGUACAUUGAAUUUUUUUUAAAACUAAAAUUAUUUUGAGAAUUUUCUUAAAAAAUUGAGUUAUUUUGAUAAAAAAAUCUCAAAAUAAUAAUCUGAAUCCCUAAGCAAUCAAAGUGUAAUGCCUUUGGAUUAAAUUAUAUUCAUGCUAAUGAGAACUUUUUCGUCACAUGCUUGGAAAUGAUGAUACAUAAAAAAAAAGUUGUACUUUGUCUGCAAAUAAAAGGUAGUUGGAAAAUGGAACCAAGUAUUCUCAAUUUUUUUCUUCAAGUUAUUAUGAAAAUUAUUACAAAUCAACACUCCUAAAAGUUUAGCUCAGCAAUUCCUACUGUGUUAUUUCAUUUGUACAAUACUAUUGCAACAUGAAAACUUAUCCAAAGUGAAUAAAGUGCAAUAAUAUCAAACAUCCUUCCAAAUAAUUUAUCACAGAAUAUCAUUCUCUUCAAUCAUGAUUUUGUAUUUUUUUUUAAUACGAAGCUCUCGAUUUUCUUGGUUAUGAAGGGUUAGUCUUUCUUCUUCGAACAUUCUUCCGCACACUUACAGUGGCUUCUUGGGUUUCGCCUUCAUCUUUUUGUACUCGCUGCUCAUUGCUAACAACAGCUUUUGGUUUUGAAGUAUUGAUCUGACUUCUCAACCGCAAUAUUUCACCCUUGGCAGAAGCCAAUUCGUCUUCCAAUUUCUUCCCUCUGCUCUCUAAACUCUCUCUUUCUUUGCCAAGUCUAGUGAUGAGGUUAUGAGCAUCUUCAAUGUUUUCUUGAGCUUCCUUGCUUGCAUUUCUUUGUUCUGUAAGGUACUUGGCAAGAACCUCUUUCUCAUUUUCCAGGCUAGAAAUAAGAGAUUUAGACCCUUCUAGCUCAUUAGAAAGGAUCACCGAGUUUCGGUUCAUUUCAUCUAGUGAUUUGGUAGCUUCCUCGAGAUCCAUUUCAAUAGUUUUCCGCGACUCCUUGUCCUUCAAGACUUGCUUCUUCAAAGCUUGUAAAUCUUUGUUCAAAGAAGUAACUAACUUCUUUUCUUCCUUCAAAUCCUCUGAUGUGGCUUCAGCCUUUUUGUAGAUCUCAAUUAAUUCUCUUUGUAACGUAUCGCGGUUUUCAAGAGUAGCAGUUAGCUCAUGGGAUGUACUCUGCAGCUCCGCUUCUGCUUUCCUCAAAUGUUCCUUUACACUCGUAAGCUCGUUGGCCAGUUUUUCUGCCUCGAGAUUCGCAUCAUCAAGUUUCCGCUGUAGUGACUCCUUAACUUUGGUGAGCUCGGCUGAAAGGUUAGAGACUUGAAGCUCAAGCUCUUUGCGCAGAUUAUUUGACUUAUUUAGCUGUUUUUCCAGUUCGGAAGAGUCAUUUCUUGAAUUUUCAAGAUUCUCCAGAGUGACUUCAAGUUCAUACUUCAAAUCAUUCACUAUUUUAGAUUCAUUCUGCAGCGACUCCUUCAAACCUUCUCGUUCUUGGAUCAAAUCAGCGAUGAUUACCUGGUUUUUGCUCGAUUCAUUUAGGGCGAGUUCAAGUUUAUCCGUUAGCAGAUGAAGCUCGUCUUCUUUUUCUUUUAAAACCUUAGCAUCCAAAACAGUCUUCUUUUCAGAAGUUAACUUUAGGUCAUUGUAAUCCUUCUCCAAUACAUCAUAUUCGCUCCUAAAGUUAUUGUUCUCGAGAGUUAAGGCGUCAACUCUCGAAUUUAGUUCAACCAACAAGGAAUCCUUUCCUUCUAGUUUCUCUUGGCUUUUCAGUAUUUCAUCUUUCAACCCUUGAAUAUGCACAAGAGCAUUGGAUAAUUCAUCCUUGGUUUGGUCAUAGGUAGAAUUCAAAUUCCUCAAUUCCAACUCCUUAUCUGCAAGGGAUGAAUUCAGAUUCCAAACGGCAUGUUCUUUAUCCUUAAGGUCUUCACUCAGCAGAUCAAUUCUUUUCUGUAAAAUUUCAAUAGAUUCUACUUUUUCUUUCAAAUUGUUUUCAAGGUCUUUCUUAGCCGUAUCGGUGUUUGAAAGGUCAGUUUCAAGCCUGUCAAUUUGAAGUUUAAGCUCGGCAAUCAAACUUUUCUCGCUUUUUAGCUCCUUUCCCAAACCGGUGACAGUACUCUUUGUAGAAUUUAGUUGAUCAAUCAGUGCAUUCUGCUCUUCUUUUGCUUUUCCAAGUAGCUUGGCUUGCUCCUCCUGUUCAUUUGAUAACUUCAAUUCGUAAUUCCUCUUCAACGAAACAAUCUGCUCUUCUUUUUCCUUCAGUUUGUUGUUCAUCUGUGCACAUUGGCCAGUAAAAUAAAACAUAAAUACUAUAUAUCUUUCUCCGAAAAAAUACCAUCUAAAAUCAAACUAGAUAAAAAAGACCAAUAAUUGUUAAAAUUGGACUUCAAAAUUGUAAGCAAAGCUCAAAAUAGUCCCUCAUUUUUUUCGAAUUGGCAAUACAUCUCUAAUAUUGUAAAAUGCCAGUCAAAAUAGUCCCUCUACUAACUUUGACAGUUAACAAUGAAUGUUAACCAAUGAAGCACGGAUACUCUAAAAUCUAUGACGUGUCGUCUUCGAUACGUACCGAUACACAGAUACGUCACCGAUUCGUAUCAAAGGAGUAUCCAAUUUUUUUAUUUAAAAAAUUAAAAUUUCCGAUACAUACCGGUAUCACAGCGACACGUCUCCGAUACGCUACGAAUACGGCUAGUUUAUCUCAUGACUAUUCAUAUUUCUAGAACAUGAAUAAAUCUUCCUCAACCUUAAUUCUUCUUUUCUCAACUUUAAUUACCUCAUGACUAUUCAUAUUUCUAGAACAUGAAUAAAUCUUCCUCAACCUUAAUUCUUCUUUUCUCAACUUUAAUUACCUCAUCACUUUCAUUUUUCUAUGACAAAGAAUCAAAUCUUUCCUUUGAUUACUUUUCUCUUAACUUUAACUAUCUUUUUUUUCUUUCUCAUAAUUCCUUUACCAAUUACUAUCAAACUUUGCAAAUUCAAUUGGUUCUUGUUAUAGAAUGAUUUAACUAAUGUUUAGUUUUACUUUUUUUUAUAUGUAUCUUAAAUGUGGCGUAUCCUAGAUUUUUCAAAGACCGACCUAUCUCCGUAUCGGAUACGUUUCGUAUCCGAUACCCUUAAUAUAUUUGUGUUUCAUUGACAUUAAUCAAAUAUGUGCCCCUUCCAUGUUAAAUUUUACCAUCAAUUAGUAAAUGCACAAUUUCAAUUACUAACAAAUUUGUCUUUUAGACAACCUAAAUUUCUUUCGUACAUUAGCCUUCAGCAAAUUGGCAGAGCCUCUAACAAUAGAAAUUUACAGAGAGACCAUUUUGAGUUACACUUUCCAAUUCCGGAGAUGUAUUUGCCAAUUUGUAAAAAUGAGCUUCUAUUUUGACCAAUGUUUACAAUUACAAGAACCAAUUUGCCUAUUCACUCCAUCACCGUCCCUCUAGAAUUAUGAGAAAGGGAGGAAUAAUCCCUCAUUUCCCUCUUUAACCAUAUGACUUUACUUAGAAGAGAGACAUUCCUCAAAGGCCCAUACAUGUGAUACCAGUUUUCAAGAAUCAUAAAUAAAGUACAUAGAAGCUUACUGUUUCGAUUGUUGCAACAGCAGCAGACUUUUCUUUCUGAGAGAGUGCAUAAAGAGCACCCAACAGACCAGAAGAUACAAUUCCAAUUCCAUUCAGAAGAGUCACUAAGGAACUUGAUGGUUUCUGCAUUUCAGGUGCUGUCUGUCCAUGGAAGCAUUAAGUUUAGAAUACAUAAACAUACAACCAAAGGACAAAAACAGGCAAAAAUUUAAUUUAAUAUUUAAAAUUUGCAUCAGAAUUUAACAGCAAACAAACCUCUGCUUGCUUUUUAUCCUCUGUUAUCUUCACCUCACUUUCUUCUGAAAGUAGAAUGGAUAAUUACAGUUACUAAAUAUAAGAACCCUGUGAUACUGUCUGUCCUAAGCAGUUUGAGAAUAGUUGCAAAUUAUAGUCCACAUCCCAAUAUUAAAUAUGAGAAAAUAAUAUGCAUUGCAAAAACGUGGUGUGAAAAAUUUAAUUCUUCCAACUAACAAAGAAAGGACCCCAAGAAUGCAUGCAAUUGCAAAUACAUAAACAGUCCCAAAAGGAAAAUAUGGAGAUCUCCUUUUGACAUAUGGAGCUCUAAUAGUAUAUCACAAUAUAGCACAAAUCACAAUCGUGAAUUAGGGUUACCAACUUGUAAGAUGAAGAAUGCCUCCCACUUAAAUAACUUUUCAGGUCAUAUAUAUGGUAGCCCAACGGAUAUUGGAUAGACUUUAAUACCAUAUUAAAAUUUGGUUUUGGUUUGUAUCUAACUCAAUCUUUAUAAAAAAAUGGCAUGUAAGGUGCGAGAUGCCUCCAAAAUGGCGCACCAUAAUUUAAUGACAGAGCAUCUCUCAAGUAUAAGCCAGAGCAUGAAUAAAAAAGUAAUACAACAACAACAACCAAGCCUUAUCCCACUAAGUGGGGUCAACUACAUGGAUCAACUUUCACCGUGAUGUUCUAUCUAAGACCACUACUAAUACUUAGUUUGGUUUGCUAGUAAUAGUUACAUCACCCGUCCAAAUUAUGUGUCUGAUUUAGAUCUCUCUAUCAAGUUAUAGAAAUGGUAUAGAUAAUUAAAUGUCUAUUAACAUUACCAAUUACCAGAUAAUAAUCCGCACACACUCAACUUUUACAAAUUAAUGUAACACAACACGACUUUUUUUAAUGAAAUCCAAGCGAAUCCUCUUAGUGGACAAUCCUAUUUGAGGCUGAUAGAGCAACAAGAGUAAGACCUCUCUUCAAAGGAUUUAUUUUUCACAAAGGGUUGGACAAAAGAAUUACUAGUAAGGAAUAGUUUUGUGCACAUUUUGAUCACUUGCGGACCUAGACGAACUCUAUUAGGUACACAUGACUUAGUUUGCAAUAAACUAUGAAGCACGAAUAUAGACAUGGGCAUCGGCCACGGGACAAACACUCCUAAUGUUCAAUAUAUAGGACAUUGACAUCUAGAUAUAUAUAUCAAAUUGAACUUGAAUAUCAUCUAUAAAAUAUCUAAAUUUAGAAUCAAAAUGACUAAUAAAAUGUUUUAAAAUAUACUGCACAAAUGCUUAUUUUAACAUUUUAGAAUGUUGACAAAUAUAUAAAAAGCAAAGAAACUGUUGAAGACUAACUUUCAAACUAAGUCAUCAUCAAACUACAGCUAAAAUCAUCAAGUAACCAAUCAAAGAGGUACCUGGAUUUGCAGAAGCAGGUGAAGAUACAGAUGAGGAAGAGACAACGUCUGAGAGGGAGACAUUGAGACUAAAGGUAGGCAACGGGACAUCGUCGGAAAGCAUACGUUGUCUGCGAAUAGAGCGGAGACGUCGACUGCGAACAGGGUCCCGAGAUGAAGGAAGCCGUUGUCUACGAACACGAGAUGAAAUGAAGACGAGGACUGGAAAAAAGGCAAUUAUGAGACCGGAAAUGAAGAAUAGAAGAUGGGAAAUUGGGAAAGACAGAUGAAAAACCAAAGAAGAUGAAGACUUCUAUACAAGGGACAUAUCAAAUGCCAAACUAAAAUACUGUUUUAUAACUUUUAAAAGCAUUUUUUGUUUGUUUCUGUUUUCCUAAAACAAGUAGUUGUGUCUACUCUCACUGGAUCAAAAGAGUAUCAGGGGAGUGUUGAAGCCAAGAACACGUGUAGAAAGAAUGUGAAUGUCCAACCCACACCAACGUGGACCAAACAUGCGGAUAAUACGCCUAAACCCAAGUGUGUCAUGCUUCAUAGACGAUAAAUAAUACUACCUCCAAUCUCUAACUACAUGGAUCAACUUCCACCAUAAUGUUCUAUGAUCCAAGACCAUACUCCUAUCCAAAUCGUUAAUCUCGAGAUCUUUCUUAAUAACUUCCUUUAAAGCUUUUCUAGGUCUUCCUCUAUCUCUAACGAUUUGACUCCUCUCCAUCUAAUUUACUCUCCUUACCACAGAAUUUGUACGCCUUCUCUAAGGUAUAUAAGAAAAAAUUACAAUCAUCACCAAGACCAAGAAGCUUAUUUAUUAUAUAAAGUUGAAAUCUUAUCCAUUAUAUACCCUUGGCAUCAAAUGCUACACAUUAAUUGAGUUUCUAGUAAACAUUUUGUUCAAAAAAUGUUACUAUUGUUAGGGUAUAAAAAGAAUUCAAAGCAAUUAAUGCAAUUGAAAAAUGAGACAAAAAAACAAUUUUUUUGUUAAAAUAAAUGCUUAAUAUGUAAUAAUGUCAUAAUCAUGCAAAUAGAUCGAUUAACCUAACUCUAGAACGAGAUACACUCUCCCUCCCCCAUCAUCGGAAACAUUGAUAUGAGAAUCUCCCCAACCCAAUCAUAAUAAUAAUAAUAAUAAUAAUAACAAUAAUCAAUUGGUGCAUAAAUAGAAAAUAAAGUAAUUUGAAGAUUGAAAUGGAAUAAACAUACUUGGGGAUGGAAUGAUUCCUUCAAGAGCAGGGGCGGUGUCGAAUUGGAGAAAGGGAAGAACAACGACACCCAUGAGAAGAAAUGUCCUUUUGUUGCAUGUUGGAUCGUGGUGAUGGCGAGAGCAACAGAGAACGGGAGAACGAGGGUUAGCGUUUCGAUGACGAGGAGAAGAAGAAGAAGAAGGGAAGGGAAACGGGUAUAGCAGCGGAGAGUGAAGUGAGGUAGUCGCUGCUCCUACAAAACCCAUCUUUUCCUUACCGAUUAUGUCGCUUGUCACCGCGCCACAUAUACACACACUUCCAACCAACUCAUGUUCUAUGUGCUUUUCAUUUGUGGUUCUUGUUUCUUCUCUACUACCACUUUUCAAUCUUUUAUAUAUAUAUAUAUAAUAUAUAUAUAUAUAUAUAUUGUUAUUUACUUAUCAUAGUAAAUGAAAAGUGUGAAAUUUGGUCUAUAAUCAACACACUCAAGUGAUUAAGAAAAAUAAACUUGAUUUAAUCCACAUUCAAGAAACAAAAAUGACAGAGGUGGAAGGUAAGAUAUGUGAAAAUAUGUGGCGUCAAGAUAUCUGAUAUUUGAAUGGGAGGUAAGGUGUGUGGGCAGUUACUGGUCUGGAACCCAAUGAUAUUUACUAAGCAGACAUAGAUUAAUGAUGAGCAUUUCAUAGGAGUGGAAGGUAGGUGGAGUUAUGAAGGGAUACAAGUGGAAAUUAUGAAUGUGUAUUUUCCUUGUGAUUUGGUCGACAAGAGAAGACUAUGGUUCAGAUUGGGUGAGAUAAUAAAAUCAAAACCAGAAGUAAGUUGGUGCGUGAUGGGUGAACUUAACGCAAUUUGAGUGGAGUCAGAAAGAAAAGGUGUUUGUUUAUUUUUCAGAAAAGGGAAGAUGAUAGAGUUUGAUGAGUUUGUUUUGGGUGCAGAACUUAUAGAUAUCCCACUAAGGGAUAUGCGGUUCACUUGGUCGAAUCUUAAUGGUUCAACCAUGAGCCAAAUUGAUAGAUUCAUAUUCUCAGAAAGUUGGUUACACAUUGGCGGAAGUGUGAUCAAUGGUGUCUAGAUAAGGGGCUCUUUGAUCACUGUCAUUUAAUGAUUUGUAAUAAUUCAUUGAACUGGGGACCGAGACCUUUUCGUAUGUUCAUCUGUUGGAGAGAACUAGAAGGCUAUCACAAGUUUUUGGAGGGCAAGUGGAGAUCAUUCGACGUCCAAGGAUGGGGAGGAUAUAUAUUGAAAGAGAAAAUUAAAAUGAUCAAAAGAAAUCUUAGAGAUUUGAGUGAGAGUCAUAUGGAAAAAAUGGAUGGUAAAAUUAAAGAGGUGAAAAAGAAAGUCAACGAGAUGGAUAUUAAAAGUGAAGUAUCAAUGCUCACCCAUGAAGAUGUCUUAACUAAAAUGGAGGCGUCAGUUCAACUAUAGGUGUUAUCAAGACUUAAAUCUAGCAUUUUAUGGCAAAAGUCCCGCAUGAAAUGGCUAAAAGAAGGGGACAAGAGUACAAGACUUUUCCAUAGAUGUGUGGUAAAUAGAAGGAAAAUAAAUGAGAUUACUUGUAUAGAGACACAACAAGAAAAAUGGACUGGGGUUUAGGAUAUAAAGCAGGGAGUUUUUGAACAGUUUUCUGAGGUUUCUACGGAAAAGUCAGCGAAUAGACCGGUUUUAAGAGAUUUUGAGUUUAAAAGAUUGGUUUGAAGGAUAAUUUAUGCCUUAUAGUGGAAUUCAGAGAGGAAUGGAUUAAAAUAGUAGUGUGGGAGUGUGAUAGUUCGAAGAGUCCUGGGCCAUACGAAGUAAACUUUGGUUUCAUGAAAGAGUUCUUGGAAGUGAUUAAAGACGACUUCUACAGAUUCAUUGUAGAGUUCCAUUCAAAUAGUAGGUUGGUUCGUGGAGCAGACAGUUUCUUCAUUGCAUUAAUUCCAAAGAUUGAGAACCCAAUGAAGCUGAAAGAUUUUCGGUUGAUAUCGCUCAUAGGAUCUAUGUAUAAAGUGGUGGCGAAGCUUCUCGCAAACAGACUGAAGAAAGUAGUGCAUAAGGUAAUAUCUUAACCACAAUUUUCCUUCUUAAAGGGUUGUCAAAUGCUUGAUUGCAUUGUUAUUGCGAACAAGUUAUUUGAUGACGCUAAGAGAAAAAAAUAAAUAAGCUCUGGUAUUUAAAGGCGACUCUGAAAAAACGUAUGAUUCGGUGGACCGGAAGUUUCUUGAUUAUAUGAUGCAGAGAAUGGGAUUUGACGGAAAGUGGCAAUGAUGGAUCUCUGAAUGUUUACAUUAUGCUUGUGUGCCAGUUAUGAUAAACGGAACUCCUCUGAAGAAUUUCCAAUCGGGAGAGUGUUAAGGCAAAUUGACCCUUUAUCCCCAUUUCUAUUUUUGUUAGUAGUUAAUGGUCUCAAUAAAAUGAUGAUAAAAGGGAGUAGGAAUGGACCUCUUUAAGAGAUACCAAAUAAGGAAUGGUGAGGUUAUUGUCUCUCACAUCUAAUAUGAAGAUGACAUGAUUGUGGUAGGGAAGAGAAAUUGGAAGAAUAUUUUGGUGAUUAAGGAAAUCCUACAACUUUUUGAAUUAGAGUCUGAGCUGAAAGUAAACAUCCAUAAAAUUUCCCAUAUUGGAGUCAAUAUACAUGGAUCUUGGUUGGAAGAGGCUUCGAAGGUACUACAUUGCAAGGUGAAAUCAACAUCAUUUACUUACUUGGGUUUGUCAAUCGGAAGUAUUCGUCGAAGGGUGAGUGAAUGAAAAUCGGUGAUUGGGAUACUAAGAAGAAUGUUGUCUUCCUAGAACAAUACUCCCCCCGUUCCUUUUUAAGUGUCAAUUUCUUGUAAAAAAAUUGUUUUUUUUAAUUGUCACUUGCAAAAUUCAAGGUAAUAUUAAUUGCAAUUUUGUCAAAAUUACCCCUAGGUAAUUAUUAUAUAUAGAGAGAGAAAAAGUAAAAUGAAUGCAAUAAAUAAUUAAGGGUAUUAUAGGUAAAACAAGAAUUAUUAUUUGAAAAGUAACCAUAAUGAUUAGCUUCCUUGGUAUGUGUAAAAAGUAAAAAAAAAAUAACAUUUAAAAAGGAACGAAGAGAGUAAUUAUCUAUCAAUAGGUGGUUGUAUUAUCCUCUUGAAGUAUGUCUUAUUUGCCUUACCUGUAACACCACAAAGUCGAUUAAAUUAUUUAAUUUAAUUGCUGCAAUUUAUGUUAUUUAAUUAUUUGAUGUUGGUAGGGGUGUACGUGGGUUGGGUCAACCCACAAAACCCGGUCAAACACAACCAAAAAAAUAAAAAAAAAAGUGGGUUGGAUCAAGUAAUUGGGUGAAUAUGAGUUUAAAAACUAAAAAAUCCAUUAAAAAAUUGGGUUUCGGGUAAAACCGGACUCAAACCCAAAAAUCCCACUAAUCCACUAAUCAAAUAUUUAUGAUUACAAUUUUAAUGAUUUUGAUGAAUAUUAACUUAGUUUUUGCAAUUUUAGUCUCUUAAUAUACUAUUUUAGUGAACCAUGACUUUAAAUAAUUUUGAAUGUUUUACUAUUUAGUUAUUUUGAUACUAAUACUACAAUUUUAUGUUAUGCAACUUUAAUUUAUUGCUAGUAUUUUAUGAUAAUUUUUAGUAGUUGAUGAUAUCAUUUAUUAUUUUAUGAUGCUAAAAGAUAGCAAAAAUAGGUUAUCUAUUGUUUUUUAAGAUUAAAAUGUUGAGUAAUUUUUAAGAAAAAAAUAUGAUGGCUCAUCAUUUAGUAAUUUAAUAUUAAUAAAAUAGAAAAAUUAUUUGGACAACCCACUGUCCAACCCAACUCAACAUAAAAAUUAGUGGGUUUGCCCAAAUCGGCCCAUUGGUAUAAUGAGUGAUUAUUUUAUCUCAUCCAAACUGGAGUAUCGUAUAUAGAUUGGGUAUUGAGUUUGGUCAAACCCAACCCAAACCGGACCACGUACACCUCUAAAUAUUGGUGUGCAUUAAAAUAAAAUUAUAUGAUUAUAUAUUGUUGGGGAUGUAGUGAAAAUAGUAGGGUGUGGUGAGAAGGUAAAAUAAAUUAGAAAAUAAUUAUAAUAAUUAGAUUUUUUAAUUAUUUUAGAAAUAAAAUAAGAAAAGUGGUGAAAUAUGAGAUUUGGACCAUUGGUGUGAAUUACGAAAAAUAUAUGACAAGAGGAGAGAAGUUGAGAAUAAGUUGGGCAAAAACUGUAAUUUGAGAAGAUAGUUAGAAACCUUAUAAAUUCUAAAAGUUGGAAGGAAGUUGGGUUUUAGAGAACCAUUUGACAGUACGUGAAAAUAAGAGGCAAAGAAGAACAAGGGCUUGUGGGAAGGAGAGCUAUGAUUGAGAAGAGGAAUCCAUAGUAGUUGUUCAAUUCGUCAUUAUUGCAGGAAAUCUAAGGUAAAAGGGGAGAAAUGGAUUUGACUAUGGGUGUAUUGCAUGAUAGGAUAGAGAAGAGUCUCAUUAGGGAUUGUGUAGAUUCUAUUAUGAUUUAUUGUUGUUGUGAGAUAAUAUGAAAAAUUGGUGAUUGAUUGUAUUGUUAUGUAAUUUUUGUGAUUGAAUUCGUGUAUGUACGAUUCUGUUUAUGAGUAUGUGAUUCUAUGUCAUUGUUAGAAUUUUGAAGCUUUGAGCAUGAACAUGAAUUUGAUGAAAGUGAUGAAUGAAUUGUGUGUCUAAUUUUAUGAUUCAUGAUGUUAAUCUGUGGGAAAUUAACAUGUUUAAUAUGAUAUAAUUAUUAUGUGUCGAAUUCUGAGCGUUUGGAUUUUUAUGGAAUCGAAAUUGGAGGCCUAGAAGGUUCCAAUGAUGAAAAAACAUAGACUUUUGCAUUUAGCAGCAGUUUUGCAUUCUGCUGCGACUUAACAGUCGUCAGUUUCGUGACGGUACACCCGUCAUGACUAGACUGAUUUGGUUCAAAUACAGUUUUGAUCAUAGCUUUAGUUUCAGGACUCGGAUUGAGGCGCGGUUCGAAAUGUUGGAAAGAUAACCCACAAAGUUACAUUAUGGUAGUGCCAUGUGAGAUUAAUUUCCAUGUAUAAAUGGUGUUUAUAUGUCUUGAAGUGUAGAAUUGUGUGACUUGUUGUAUUUACUUAAUGAUAAAUUGAUGUUAUAAUGAUUUAAUAUGAUCGAAUAUCGUGUGGAUAUGAAUUUGACGAGGUGUUGUUGUUUGGUGUUAUUUGUUAAUUAUCGUAACAUUGAUUAAUUGUUGCAUAUUGGGAAUGAUGUUGUGCAUAAUGGUGAUAAAUGCAUGAUGAUAAUUUUGGUGAUAAUGUAUAUUAUUGAGAGUCAUGCAUCAUGGUGUAUGGAUUUCGGUCUAGUUUUGGUAUGCUCUGGUCCUAUGGUAGGGAUUCAGGAAUGAGUAGCUAGUUCCAGAUGGGAAUCAAUAAAGCAUUACCUAUGGUGAUGGUAGUGAUUUUUGUUUGCUUUGGUCCUAUGGUGGGGAUUCAGGAGCGAGAUGAAUCUAAGUGCACUUAUGACAACGAGCCUUUGAGGUUUGAAAAAGACCCACUUGAAACUAAUAAGAAAAUGCAGGCUCAAGACCCCCUAGAAGAGGUAUACUUGGGCGAAGGAACAGACUACAAUGAAAUGUCCGGACUAAGUCGAGACAUGGUGGAAUUAAAGUUGCCAAUUCGACCUGGCAAGAAGCCGGUGAAACAGCUGUCAUGAGGUUUGAACCAGAGAUAAUGUCGAAGAUCAAGGAAGAGAUCGAAAGGCUUCUCAGAAGUAAGUUCAUAAGAACAACCAGGUACGUCGAAUGGUUAACUAAUAUUGUUCCAAUUAUAAAAGAAAAAUGGUACUCUUAGAGUUUACAUAGACUUUAGGGAUCUAAAUAAAGUUAUGCCUAAAGACAAAUACCAUAUGCUUGUGGCAGAAGUGCUAGUCGAUUCAGCCGCAUGUCAUGAGUAUUUAAGUAUGUUGGACGGGUACUUCAGUUAUAAUCAAAUCUUUAUAGCUAAGGAGGACGUACCUAAGACAACAUUUCGAUGACCAAGUGCGUUAGGCACUUAUGAAUGGAUAGCGACGCCCUUUGCUCUAAAAAACGAUGGGGCAACUUAUCAAAGAACUAUGAACUCUAUGUUUCAUGACUUCAUCCAGACUUUUAUGCAAGUCUAUAUCGAUGACAUAGUCAUAAAAUCCUCAUCAGAAAAUGGUCAUUUGGACCAUCUUCGACACUCUUUUCAGAGGAUGAGGAAAUAUGGAUUGAAAAUGAAUCCAUUAAAAUGUGUUUUCUGUGUUGGUGCAAGAGACUUCUUGGGAUUCGUGGUGCACAAGAAAGGCAUAGAGAUCAAUCAAAACAAAACGAAAUCAAUUGUAGAUCCCAAGCCUCCUUCGAUAAAGAGACAACUUCAAUCUUUGUUGGGGAAAAUAAAUUUCCUAAGAAGGUUCAUCUCCAACCUAAGGGGCAAAAUUCAGUCAUUCUUGCCACUGUUUCUACUCAAGAAAGACAAUGAUUUUAUUUGUGAGAGCGAGCAACAAGAGGCUUUUGACAAUAUCAAGCAAUAUUUGAUGAAGCCUCCAGUAUUGUUACCUCCAAGUAGAAAUAGGAGCAUGAAAUUAUACAUAAUUGCGCUAGAUUCGACCAUAUGCAGUAUGUUAGCUCAAGAGGAUGAUAAUGGUGUCGAAAGAGCCAUAUAUUACCUCAGUCAAAUCUUAAUAGACGCAUAAACUAGGUAUAACCCGAUUGAAAAAUUAUGUUUGUGCCUAUACUUUUCAUUUACGAAAUUGAAGCAUUAUAUAAAACUAGUGGAAGUUUAUGUUUACUCUCAUUUCGACGUUGUUAAACAUAUGUUAUCAAAGCCCAUAUUGCAUUGUCAAAUAGGGAAGUGGGCUUUGGCGCUUACUGAGUAUUCAUUGACUUAUUAUCCUUUGAAAGCAAUAAAAUGACAAAUUGCCACAAACUUUAUUGUUGACCAUUAAGUGGUCGAAACAAUGGAUGCGUACGUAGAAACUAGGCCUUGGAGGUUGUACUUCGACAGUUCCAUACAUAAAGAUUGAGUCGGAGUAGGAACCUUUAUCCUUUCGCCAGAAAACAUACCGACCAAGUUUAGGUAUAAGAUCAAGGAGUCAUAUUCCAAUAAUGAGGUCAAAUAUGAAGCCUUGAUAACAGGCCUUCAGAUUUUGUUGAACUUGGGUGCAAAUGACGUCAAAAUAAAGGGAGAUUUGAAGUUAGUGGUUCAACAAUUGAAUAAAGAGUGUAAAUGCAUCAAAGAGAACUUGAUUUUAUACUUUGUCAUAGCUAACUCUUUACUGAAAGGUUUUAAUCACGUUUUGAUUGACCACAUCCCUCGACUAGAGAGUCAGAAGGCUAGUGACUUGGCUCAGAUAGCCUCAGGAUAUAAAAUCUCUAAAGAGAGGUUGAAAGAUUUAGUCGAGAUAAAGGAAAUAUUUGUCUCAGAAGAUAACCCUCAAGAGACACUGUCAAUGUUAAAACUUGGGGGGCAGAGGAAUACGAGGACCCACCAAACUUUGAAAAUUCCGAGUUUGAUAAGUUUUUGAACUACGAAGUUUUGGCCAUUGACCUAAUGUCAGAUGAUGAUUGGCGAAAACCUAUAGUCAAAUAUUUAGGAAACUGUCGCACCUCUAAAAAUGAGAACAUGACUUAGCAAAGCACAAUCACGCGCUCGCGGGAAUGAUUGAACAGAGUCGUCACCGAACUUUAUUUAUUCCUAAAGAGGGAAAGGGAAAAUAUUGAUAGAACCCCUAAAAGAAAGGAUAAGAUACAAUUAUUGCAACCAAUAUCAGGGUUCAAGAGUCGGUUACAUAAAAGGGAAGGUAUUAACAGCCCUCAUGUUCGUUGUACUCAACGAAAACCAUUUAGUUAGUUUCGAUUUGAAUGUUAGCUUAUGUUAGCUUAUGUUAGUUUACAGUUUUCUACUUAUUUGGGAUAUAAAAAGAAAAAAGAGAAUUUUUUUUGAAUUUUUAAUAAUAAGAAAUUGUUAGAACAAAAGCUACUUCUGCAUCUAUACCUUGAGUUUUGAUGAUAACAAUAUUGUAUUUGUGUGAGAACAAUUUUGGUACCCUAAUGGUUUGUUAUUGUGUAGCUUUAAUAACCAAUUCUGAUUCUAAAUAUAUGAUGUGCAACAUCAUCAGUUUCUGAACUGUGUUCCAAAUUCGCUUAUGUGCUAGCUAUUAGAAGUUCUGAAAGAUUUCCAAUAUUGUUAUUGCAAUGAUCUUUCUGCUUCUGUGCUGAUUCACUCAUAAGAAGCUUAUGAGGAGACACUAUGUUGUUGUUGCCACGUUAUCUCAGUUCAUGUGUUUGGACGUGACUCUGAUCAUUAAACUUCUGAAGAAUGGAAAGCUUCUGAUGUUAUGUUAUGUAGCUGAAGAUUCUUAAGAUCUCAUGCCAGACGGUUAAAGAUAUCAAGGUUUUGACUAAGGAUUCUGAAGACUCUAAAGGUUAUGAAGAUCUCAAGCCAGACUAUUGACGAUGUCAAGGUUCUGACAAAAGAUUAUGAAGUUUAUGAAUCCAUCUUUAUGUUUCUUCAUUUCACGCUUCAUUAAUUUUCAUCAAAAGCCAAUGAACUUGAAAAUAAGAUCAAAAUAGGAAUGUGAUCAAAUAGGACAUGGUAGAAAACAAACAUCCUUUCCACUACCUGAUUUCAUGGGAAAAGACAAUACUAUACAUCACACCUAUCACUAGUUUUGUGGGUGAAAGGAUAGUACGCAUUAUCAUUCCUUUCCUAUCCAAUAGUGGACAACCGAUCAAAUGAGCUUUCCCUGUUUUCCCUCCAACGGUCGUAUGCUUAUGCUAUAUAAGUAUGACUUGGAGACUUGAAGAAAAAUGUCGGUUACACAAAUAUUUUGACAAGUUAUUUUCUUUGUGAAAAGUUAUCAUUCUUUUGUACACAGUUUUUCUUUAAGUGUUUGUUAUUCAUUUGUGUAAAAUCUGCUUGUGUAGAAGCAUCUCGUAAUACAUAAAAUAUUCUUCAAACUAUUUGUUUGGUUCCUUAAGGAGGUUAUCCUUGAGAAGACAAAGAAGGUUGUUUUUUGUGAGUCCUUAAGGAGACUAAGGUUUAGUUGGAUACUUGAUAAGACAAAGAAGGUUAUUCUUUGUGUUUGUUGUAAUUUGUUUAUUAUAAUGGAUUAAGUCCUUGUGUAUAAGGAAAAUUACCUUGGCAAAUGGACUGGAUUAACUUUGAGUUUCAAGCGAACCAAGAUAAAAAUACUUGUGUUUUUAUCUCUUCAUUAUUAACUUGUUAGUGGUGUUCUUGUUUUGGAAAAAGCUUUUGCUUGUAAAACCCAAUUCAAACCCCAAUUUCUUGUGUUUUUCACAUCUUCAAUUGGUAUCAGAGCUCCAGUUUUGAUUGUGAUGAAAAGCUUUUAUUAACACCUUACAAUGUUCAAUACCGAUCCAGUUUGUGUGAGAAACAAUGGUUGCUGCUAACGAUGCUAACGUUGUUAAUAAUAAUGAUAGAGAUCAUUACAAUUUAAAACCACCAAUUUUUAAUGGUGAGAAAUUUAACUAUUGGAAAGACAUAAUAGAAAGUUUAUUUCUUGGUUACGAUGUUGAUCUUUGGGAUCUUGUAGUCGAUGGCUAUGUUCUCCCAGUAAAUGCUGAAGGAAUUACUUUAGCAAGAAGUGAUAUGUCUGAUCAAUAGAAAAAAGACUUUGAAAAUCAUCAUAAGGCCAAAACCAUAUUGCUUAAUGAUAUCUCUUAUACGGAGUAUGAGAAGAUAACAAACAUAGAUUUUGCCAAAUCCAUUUUGACUCUCUGAGGAUGACUCAUGAGGGAAACGCUCAAGUAAAGGAGACAAAGGCCUUGGCCUUAAUCCAUAAAUAUGAAGCAUUCAAAAUGGAAGAUGGUGAAAAAGUUGAGACUAUGUUCUGAAGGUUUCAUAUGUUUGCCGCAGGACUUAAAGUUCUGGACAAAGGGUAUUCUACAGCUGAUCAUGUCAAGAAAAUUAUCAGAAGUCUUCCCAAAAAAUGGAGACCUAAGGUAACUUCCUUGAAGCUGGCAAAGGAUCUCAACAACACCAGUCUUGAAGAACUCGUUAGUUCUUUAAGAAGCCACGAGAUUGAGCUAGAAGAAGAUGAACCUUAGAAACAAGGUAAAUCUGUUGCUCUAAAAUCCAAGCCUGAGGAAGACUAGAGCAUAUCAAGCUGAUGAAGAAUCAGAAGGAUCCGAUGAAGACUCAAAAGAUGAUGAUGAGUUGUCUCUAAUCUCAAAGAGAGUUAAUAGACUCUAGAAACAUAGGAAAAGUGGUCAAGGGAAGUUCAGAGGAGUUAGAAGGACUACUGGUCGCUUUGAAUAUUCGUUUGGACAGAAGAAGCAAGGCUCUGGAAAAGGAGUUAUUUGCUUUGAGUGCAAGGAGUCAGACCAUUACAAAAAUGAUUGUCCUAAGCUGAAGAAGGAUAGAAGGGUGCAAAAAGAACUUCUCCAAAGUCAAGAAGGGGAUGAUGCCUACCUGGGAUGACUCAGAAUCUGAAGAAGAAGUUUCUGAAGAAGAAAAAGCCAACGUUGCACAGAUGGCAACUACAAAGUAUCCCAUAAGUUCUGAAGAACCAUAAGACAAGGUGUUAUCAGAAUCAGAAUCUGACUCCGACUCUAAAGAGGUAUUUUUUACCUAUCUCAUUCUGAUAUUGAAUCAUGUCUCUCUAAAAUGCUGGAAAAGUACCAGAGUUUUCAGAGUAAAUGCAAGGACCUUAAACAAGUCCAAGUAAUGGCUUUUGAAACUCAGAAAGAGCUUGAGAGAUAUAUUUCCUAUCUAAAUGAAAAAGUAUUGUCUUUAGAAAGUAACAACUCUGCUUUGAAAAGAAAAUUUUCAAAACUAGAGAAGGAAAUAACUUCAUAAGCUUCUGGUACUGAUUGCGUCAACAGAUAUGACAAAGCAUUCCAGUACUUUCUGACUAAAAGCAUGAAUAGAAGCAAAAUGGCUUCAUUGAUCUAUGGAGUUAGCAGAAAUGGAAGGAAAAUUUUAGGUUGUACCAAAUCUAUAAAACUUGACGAAAGUCAGAAGGUCAAACCAAAACCUCUCUAUGUGCAUUUCGUACCUUCUGGCACUGAGCUUGAUACUUAUUCAUAAACAGAGAAGCAUACUAAGGAUAAGAACUUUGUUCUGAAACCUAAGUAUCAUGCACAAAUUUCUUAUGAUUAUCAUUCUGCUAAAAGAUCAAAAGUUGUAAGAAACUCUGGGAAAACUAACAAAAUAGGACCCAAAAAAUGGGUACCUGAGGAUAAAAUUAUUUAUGUUGCAGAAAUCCUUAACAACUUAGUUGAAACACCAGUCAUGGUACCUGGACAUUGGAUGCUCACGACACAUGACGAGCAAAAGGUCUAUGUUCCAAGAUUUGGAACUUAAGCCUGGAGGCUUCGUUGGUUUCGGAGGAAACCAAAAAGGAAAGAUCAUUGGAUAUGGGACCAUUGGUAAUGGUAAACUUCCUUCUAUUACUAAUACUCUUUUAGUUGAUGGUCUGAUGCAUAACCUGUUGUCUAUUAGCCAACUUAGUGACAAUGGUUAUGAUAUCAUCUUUAAUCAAAAGUCUUAUAAGGCAAUUAGUCAGAAAGAUGGUACAAUCAUUUUUAACGGAAAUAGGAAGAACAACAUUUAUAAAAUUAGACUUUCUGAUCUUGAAGAUCAAAAUGUAAAAUGUCUAAUGUCUAUUAAUGAGGAGUAAUGGGUAUGGCAUCGACGUUUGGGCCAGGUUAGCAUGAGAAGGUUUUCUUAGCUAAAUAAGCUUGGAUUAGUCAGAGGUCUACCCAUCCGGAAGUUUGCUUCAGAUGCUCUUUGUGAAGCAUGUCAUAAAGGCAAGUUUCUAAAACAUCUUUCAAAGUAAAAACUAUUAUUUCUAUCUCUAGACCGUUAGAACUUCUGCACAUUGAUUUGUUUAGACCACUGAAAACUACUUCUAUAAAUGAAAAGAAAUAGGUAUUGGUCAUAAUUGAUGACUACAGUCGUUGGACAUGGGUAAGGUUCUUGAAACACAAGGAUGAGUCACAUUCUGUGUUUUCUACCUUUUUCUCACUAGUGCAAAUAGAAAUGAAUUGCAAAAUAGUCAAAGUUGAAAGUGAUCAUGGUGGCGAAUUUGAAAAUGGACAUUUUGAAUAUCUUUUUAAUUCAAAAGGUAUUUCCCAUGAUUUCUCUUGUCCUAAAACUCCACAGCAAAAUGGAGUUGUAGAAAGGAAGAAUAUGACUUUUCAAGAAAUGGCUCGCACCAUGAUCCAAGAAACCGAUAUGGCUAAGCAUUUCUGGGCAGAAGCAGUUAACACAACUUGUUAUAUUCAGAACAUGAUUUUUAUCCGACCUAUUCUAGGUAAGACUCCUUAUGAAUUGUGGAAGAACAGAAAGCCUAACAUUUCUUAUUUUCACCCUUUUGGAUGUGAAUAUUUUAUGUCGAACAUUAAAUAGAAUCUUGUCAAGUUUGAUUCUAAAGCACAUAAGUGUUUUUUGUUAGGAUAUUUUUAAUGCUCUAAAGGCUACAAGAUCUUUAAAAUAGAAACACGGAUUGUUGAGGAGUCAAUUCACGUUAGAUUCAAUGAUAAGCUUGACCCUGAAAAGUCAAAGCUAGUUGAGAAAUUUGCAGAUCUGAAAAUCAAUAUUUCAGAAUCCAAAGAUAUAGUUUAUGGAGAAAAAGACUCAUAAGGAAAAGGCAAAGAAUAUGAAUAAACGAUUCAACCAUAAGCAAUCAUUGAUCCAACUAAUCAAAAGAAGAGUAGAUCAAGAACUUAUCAUUAAGAAGAACUGAUUAUGGGCGACAAGAAUGCUCCAGUUAGAACCAGAUCUUCAUUCAAACCUUCUGAAGAGACUUUUCUAGGUUUUGUGUCUCUGAUAGAACCCACAUCCAUUGAUGAAGCUCUUCUGAAUAAUGAAUGGAUUUUGGAUAUGCAAGAAGAACUGAAUCAUUUCACCAGAAAUGAUGUUUGGGAUCUUGUUCAAAAACCAAAAGGCUUCCAUGUCAUUGGAACCAAAUGGGUCUUCAGAAACAAGCUAAAUGAGAAAGGUGAGGUUGUAGGAAACAAGGCUCGACUUGUAGCACAAGGUUAUAGUCAGCAAAAAGGUAUAGACUAUACAGAAACCUUUUCUCCAGGUGUCGGGUUAGAGUCUAUUCGUCUUUUAAUUUCUUUUGCAGUCAAUCAUUACAUCAUCCUUUAUCAGAUGGAUGUUAAGAGUGCAUUCUUGAAUGAAUAUAUUUCUUAAGAAGUAUAUGUCCAUUAACCUCCUAUUUUUGAAAGUUCUCAAAAUACUGACUUUGUUUUUAAACUGAAAAAAUCUUUAUAUGGUCUGAAGCAAGCUCCCAGAGCUUGGUAUGAUAGACUCAACAACUUUCUUUUGGAAAAUGAUUUUACCAGAGGGAAAAUGGACACAAAUCUCUUUUGCAAAACCUUCAAGAAUGAUAUUCUGAUUGUGGAAAUUUAUGUUGAUGAUAUCAUUUUUGGUUCUGCUAAUACGUUGUUGUGCACGGAUUUUUCUAAGUCAAUGCAGGCAAAAUUUGAAAUGAGUCUGAUGGGAGAACUUAAGUUCUUUUUGGGAAUCCAGAUUGAUCAACGAUCAUAAGGAACUUAUAUUCAUCAGAGCAAAUACACAAAGGAACUUCUGAAGAAGUUCAACUUAUUAGAAUGUAAGCUAGAAAAGACUCUAAUGCAUCCUACAUGUAUUCUGGAGAAAGAAGAGGUAAGUAGUAAGGUAAAUCAGAAUCUAUUCAGAGGUAUGAUAUGUUCUCUUUUAUAUCUAACGUCUUCUAGACCUGAUAUCUUAUUCAGUGUCUGCUUAUGUGCUCGCUUCCAAUCAAAUCCUAGGGAAACUCAUUUAACUGUUGUUAAGAGAUUCUUUAGGUAUCUGAAAGGUACGACUAAUCUUGGUUUAUUUUAUAGAAAAUCAAGUGAGUAUAAAGUAGUAGGCUAUUGUGACGCUGACUAUGCUAGAGACAAAAUUGAAAGAAAAAGUACUUCUAGAAGUUGCCAAUUUUUGGGAGAUAACCUGAUCUCAUGGUCCAGCAAGAGACAGUCAACAAUCACGCUUUCAACGGCCGAAGUUGAAUACAUUGCAGCUUCUAGAUGCAACACUCAAAUACUCUAGAUGAAGAGUCAACUGGAAGAUCAUCAAAUAUCUGAGAGCAACAUUCAUAUUCUAUGUAAUAAUACUACUGCUAUUUGUUUAUCUAAGAAUCAUAUCUUGCAUUCUAGGGCUAAGCAUAUUGAAAUAAAACAUCACGUUUUAUGUGACUAUGUUCAAAAGGGUAUUUUUCAUUUAAAAUUUGUUGAUAUAGACCAUCAAUGGGCUAAUAUCUUUAUAAAACCCCUUGCCGAAGAUAGAUUCAUGUUCAUUCUGAAAAAAUUAUUUAUGAAAUUAUGUCCAGGAUGAAAAGAUGUAUUUCAAAAUGUUUAAGUCUUCAGAACUCUAGAUUAGAUUCUGAGAUUGUUAUUCUUUGUGACUCUGAAAUAUGAGCUUUAUGAAGUAAGGAAGUUUUCAUGAAUCAUAAAGGUUCUGAUCAGAAGCAAUCUUAUCGAUUUAUCUUCCUGAUUCUAAACAAUUGUUGCAUUAAAUGGUUGUCUUGUUGUUUGAUUUCAUGUGGUUAUUAUCAGCGAUAACUGUCCCACUUUCUGAGCAUGCAUGAUAAAAGCGUGGCACAUUGGGUUUAGCAAUUCUUGGAGUUAGGUCUAAACUCUUACGCUUCCACCAAUAACUGGGUAUUCCCUUUUUGUCAUCAUUGCAAAUUUUUAUAUAUAAACCCACUUCACUCAUAUUUUCACACUACGCGCAUAUUACUCCCACACUUUCAACUUUCAAACCUAAAAACAACCCUCUUUAUCUGCAACUGUUCUUCAUCUUCAUCUUCUUCAAAUAACUGAACAACAACAACAAUCUCCAAGCUCUUCAAAGGCAACUGAAAGCAACACCAUUUUGGAAGGAAUUCUAGAAUCAACUUUUCAUACUUCUGUCAACGAGUUAAUGGUGUUAUGCGAGACCAUCGUUAAUUUCAAAAAUUUGAAGGAAAAAGAUUUUGGUUUCUCUGAAACCUUGUAACUUCAAGGUUGGAAAACAUUCUUCGAGAGACUCACAAGCCCAGUUUAUCCAGUUCUCGUGAAGCAAUUUUGGGUGCAUGUCACUACUGAAAAAGAAACUAUUACUUCCUACGUCAUGAAUAGGAAAAUAGUUAUUACUGAGAAGUCCAUAGCUGAUCUUAUCUCUUAUGAUGGUAAAGGGAAAAGGAUACACAGUGCUACGGUCAACACUAGGAGAGAAUUUGUUAUUGCUCCAGUUAUCUUCAAGGAGGAAUUAAACUUUAAAGAUGACAAAGGUCCUAGUGCUAAGGACUUGACUAGGAACCUAAGAGUUUGGUUCAAAAUUGUCUUGGGUUGUAUUCACCACAGGCCUAGCAGAAAUAGUUCUGACUACAUCAACACUCAUCAGAAGUUCAUGUUAUUUUGUCUGGUGAAGGGUGUCAAGUAGGGACUUCCUUCCAUUCUGUUUAAGUUCAUGAGGGAUUCUAUCUGAGAAUCCAGAACUGGUGGUUCUUCUAAGAAGACAAAGAGCAAGUUCAUUCCCAAUGACAAACUAAUUUAUGACAUUCUUGUGGAGACUGGUUUAGUAGAUGACCUUCUAGUCAAUGGAUUAACAGAAGAACUGGCGAAGGAUGCUGGAAAGGUAUUUUGGGGGAAAAUCUGAAAAGUAUGGAUCUCAUCUCUAGAAUUCAAAGACUGUAUUUCAUUUUUUCUAAGGAUGAUAUCUAUGGAACAAGGAAUCCAGUUGAUGGCUACCUAAUGUUCACCAAGAUUGAUCCUCCAAAAGUUCUUAUGGCAUAUCUGGAAAGCUAUCUGAAGGAUGAACUUGACCCAUUGGUGGAUCCAUUCAACCUUCCUGAGACUUAUCCCAAUAUUCAUGGGAAGAGAAAGAAGGAAUUCAUAGGUGAAAGAUCUUCUAGGGCUUAGAAAAAGAAUAUUAUUGUCUUUUUGGAAAAGACGACGUGCCUCUAAGUGAGGGCCAGAAAGCAAUGCUUCUAAAGGAUACUUCUGGAGUUGUCCAAUCUUCUUUAAGAGCUUCUGAUGUGGCAUCUGGUAAGCUUCCUUCUGAUAUCACUUAAUUUAAUUAUGAUUCAAUUUUAUCUGAAAGGAUCUUACUAAUCCAACCUCCUCUUUCAUCUCAACCAAUUGUUUCUGAACCUAUCCCACUUCCAUCACCUCAAUCGACCUUUAUCAAUCCUAUCAUAGAAACUCAUUUAGUUUCUGAACCUUUGUCAGAACAACAACAGAUACCACCACCACCAUCUCCUCCAUAAUUAUAGAAUUCACCCAUCUCACCCCCGUGUAUUUCUGCUCCCCAACCAACAAAUCCAAAUAUAACAACCCCCAUAACAUCUCCCUCAAGAGUUUCUAAUGGACACGUUUUUGAUGGAACACCUGAAGGUAUGUUCGAAUUUGAACCUGGACCAACUUCACCUGAUCAUGAAUCACCUCCCAUUAUUGUUUCAUAAUUUCCUUCUAUCUAUGGUCCUGACUUUGAUGAGUCUAGAAUCAACCUUAUAGUUAAAUACCCCAAAUAACCACCAAAAUCCUCCCUUAACAUUGGUAAGGUUCUGAUGAAAUUUGAGUCGGAAUCUAAAAUUCGUUUGCAUUAAGCAAUGACUAUCAGUCGUUCUUCAACAAAUCCGGUUGCGAGUGAUUCGACAUGGGAAGCUUAUAGAAGUUGGAUGAAUUCCAUGAUUUCUAUGUUGAAAGAUCUUGGGUAUACUCGUUCGUUCCCUUAAUGGAACUCUGGAAGUUACUCUUAACUCUAUCUUCCUACUUCACAAAUCAAGGAAGCUACUCCUGAGGUUAUGGAAGAAGAAGUUGCUCCAGAAACAGAAAGUAUUCAGCACAUUGAGUCUACUCCAGAAGCUGAUGCUGUUCUGAACCUCAAGAUUGUGCUAUGAAAGAAGCUACUACUCAUAUUUUCGUCUUUGAAGCUUAUGCCUCUCAGCCUAUCCUUGUUGCACUUCUGAAGACAAUCGAGGAAAUCAAGGCUGAUAAUGCAAGGGUCAGUGAGCGUCUGGAAAAACAGGAUCUCAUAUUUCAGUUGAUUCUCUCAAGACUUCCUUCUCCUCCUCAUAACCCUUAAUUUUCGUUUAGUUUCUUGAAAAUUUAUUUUGUUUCUUAUCAUUUUACCUUGCAUUGCCUUUUGGCAAAUUUUCAAUGAGAAAUGUUUGUUUCUCUUCAUUUAUUUUUUGUCUUAUGAUUGAUGACAAAGGGGGAGAAAACACAACGUUCUAAAGGGGAAGAAUUAGUGUUUUUUUAUAUCUAAGUUCCUAAAUUAAAAACCCAAACAUUGAUUAAUGUUUUUAUGCUAACAACUUCUUCGAAAAAGAGUUUGUUAAAUGUUUUGCAGGGUUACUUCUCAAGAAUCAGAAUAGUUAAAAUCAAAUAUCUUAAGAUGUCAUGAAGUAUCAAAGAUCAAAAUAUAAGCUACCAGUUUAUGAUGAAAUGGUCUUCUAUCUGAGUCUGAAGUCCUUCAUAUUGAUAAUUGAAUUUCUAAAAAUCAUGGUUUUCUACAAGGGAGAUUUUCUUCUAUAGUAAUUAGACUUGAAAAUUCAAGGUUCCGAUAAGAAAACCUACUCUUUUAAAGAAGACAACCAACUCUAAAGGUUCGUCACAAAGAACUAAAUAAAUCUUCUUAAGUGAAGCUUUUGAAGUAAAGAUUCUUAAGUGAAGCUUAUCAGAAUAAUCAUGUUAUCAAACUAGUGCACUGGACAACAUCAAUCAACUUCUAAAGAUAAACCAGAUUCUGACAGAAAAUUCACUCUGGUAUUUAAAAAAAAAGGUUAAUCAGGAAAGUGUUCUUUCAUUAUGAUUUUAUCUUUAUAAGAUUAUACAUCUCAGGGGGAUAUUUUUGCUUCUGUAAGAUGUAUUCUUCUGUGAUUACCCUCUACAAAACUAUUAAUCAAAAUACAUGUUUUAUCAUCGUAAAAAUGGGGAGAUUCUUAGAACAAGAUAUGGUUCUACAUAUAUACCUUGAGUUUUGAUGAUAAUAAUAUUUUAUUUGUGUGAGAAUAAUUAUGGUACCCUAAUGAUUUGUUAUUGUGUAGGUUUAACAACCAAUCCUGAUUCUGAAUAUAUGAUGUGCAAUGUCACCAGUUUCUGAACUAUGUGUUCCAAAUCUGCUUUUGCGCCAGCUAUUAGAAGUUCUGAAAGAUGUCCAAUAUUGUUGAUGCAAUGAUCUUUCUGCUUCUGUGUUGAUUCACUCAUAAGAAGCUUAUGAGGAUACACUAUGUUGCUACUACAAUAUUCUCUCAGUUCAUGCUUCUGGACGUGACUCGAAUCACCAAACUUCUAAAGAAUGGCAAGCUUUUGAGGUUGUGUUAUGUAGAUGAAGAUAUCAAGAGAUACAAUUGAAGCUAUCAAGGUUCUGACUGAGGAUUCUAAAGACUCUAAAGAUUCUGAAGAUCUCAAGCCAUACUACUAACGCUGUCAAGGUUCUGACCAAAGAUUCUGAAGUUUCAGAAUUCAGCUUUAUGUUUCUUCAUUUCAUGCUUCAUCAACUUUCAUUAGAAGACAAUAAACUUGAAGAUAAGAUCAAAAUAGGAAUGUGAUUAAAUAGUACAUGGUAUAAAACAAACACCCUUUCCACUACUUGAUUUUAUGGGCAAGGACAGUACUAUACAUCACACCUGACACCGAUUUUAUGGGCGAAAGACAAUACACAGUAUCAUUCCUUUCCCAUCCAACAGUGGACAGCUCCCCAAAUGAGCUUUCCCAAUUUCCCCUCCAACAUUCAUAUGCUUAUGUUAUAUAAGUAUGACUUGGAGACUAAAAUAAAAACGCCGAUUACACAAAUAUUUUGACAAGUUAUUCUCUUUGUGAAAAGCUAUCAUUUAUUUAUACACAAUUUUUCUUUAAGUGUUUGUUAUUCAUAUGUGUAAAAUCUGUUUGUAUAGAAGCAUCUUGUAACACACAAAAGAUUCUUCAAACUAUUUGUUUCAUUCCUUAAGGAGGUUAUACUUGAGAAGACAAAGAAGGUUGCUAUUUGUGAGUACUUAAGGAGACUAAGGUUUAGUUGGAUCCUUGAGAAGACAAAGAAGGUUAUUCUUUGUGUUUUUUGUAAUCUGUUGAUUAUAGUGGAUUAAGUCCUUGUGUAUAAGGAAAAAUCACCUUGGCGGGUAGACUAGAUUAACUUUGAGUUUCAAGCGAACCAGGAUAAAAAUACUUGUGUUUUUAUCUCUUCAUUAUCAUCUUGUUAUUGGUUUUCUUGUUUUGAAAAAAGCUUUUACUUGUAAAACCCAAUUCAAACCUCUCGUUUCUUGUGUUUUUCACACCUUCAAUUGGUAUCAGAGCUCAGGUUCUAAUUGUGAUAAAAAGCUUUUAUCAACACCUCACAAUGUUCAGUACCAAUCCAGUUUGUGUGAGAAAUAAUGGUUGCUACUAACGUUGUUAAUAAUAAUGAUAGAGAUCAUUACAGUGCAAAACCACCUAUUUUUGAUGGUGAGAAAUUUGACAAUUGGAAAGAUAGAAUAAAAGGUUUCUUUCUUGGUUACGAUGUUGAUCUAUGGGAUCUUAUACUCGAUGACUACGUUCACCCAGUAAAUACUGAAGGAAAUACUUUAGCAAGAAGUGAUAUGUCUGAUCAACAUAAAAAAGACUUCAAAAAUCAUCAUAAGGCUAGAACCAUAUUGCUUAAUGUUAUCUCUUAUACUAAGUAUGAGAAGAUAAGAAACAAAGAUUCUGCCAAUUCUAUUUUGACUCUUUGAGGAUGACUCAUGAGGGAAAUGUUCAAUUAAAGGAGAUAAAGGCCUUGACCUUAAUCCAGAAAUAUGAGGCAUUCAAAAUGGAAGAUGAUGAAAAGGUUGAGACUAUGUUCUCAAGGUUUCAGAUGCUUUUUGCAGGACUUAAAGUUCUGGACAAAGGAUAUUCUACAACAGAUCAUGUCAAGAAAAUUAUCAAAAUUCUUCUCAAAAAAUGGAGACCUAUGGUAACUGCCUUGAAGCUGGAAAAUGAUAUCAACAACAUCGGUCUUGAAGAAUAAGAAGCCAUGAUAUUGAGCUAGAAGAAGAUGAACCUCAGAAGCGAGGUAAAUCUGUUGUUAUAAAAUCCAAGCCUAAGAAGACUAGAGUAUAUCAAGUUGAGGAAGAAUCAGAAGGAUCUGAUGAAGAAUCAUAAGAUGAUAAUGAGCUGUCUCUAAUAUCAAAGAGAGUCAACAGACUCUGGAAACACAUGCAAAAUGGUCAAGGGAAGUUCAGAGGAGUUAGAAGGAUUGCUGGCUGCUUCGAAUAUUUGUCUGGACAGAAGAUGCAAGGCUCUAGAAAAGAAGUUAUCUACUUCGAGUGCAAGGAUCCAGGCCACUACAAAAAUGAUUGUCCUAAGCUGGAGAAGGACAGAAGGCCCAAGAAUAACUUUUCCAAAGUCAAGAAGGGGCUGAUGGCUACCUGGGAUGACUCAGAAUCUGAUGAAGAUUAUGACGAAGAAAACGCCAACAUUGCAUAGAUGGCAACUACAGAGGAUCCCACAAUUUAUGAAGAACUAGAAGACAAGGUGUUAUUAGAAUCAGAAUCUGACUCCGAUUCUGAAGAAGUAUUUUCUAACCUAUCUCAUUCUGAUAUUGAAUCAUGUCUCUUUGAAAUGAUGGAAAAGUACUAGAGUUUUCAAAGUAAAUACAAGGACCUUAAACAAGUCCAAGUAAUGGCUUCUGAAACUCAGAAAGAGCUUGAGAAAGAUAUUUCCUAUCUAAAUGAAAAAGUAUUUUCUCUAGAAAGUAACAACUCUGCUUUAAAAAGCAAAAUUUUAAAACUAGAGGAGAAAAUAACUUCAGAAGCUUCUGGUACUGAUUACGCCAUCAGAUAUGAAAGAACAUUCCAGUACUUUUUGGAUAAAAGCAUAAAUAGAAGCAAAAUGGCUUCAUUGAUCUAUGGAGUUAGUAUAAAUGGCAGGAAAGGUUUAGGUUGUACAUAAUCUAUAAAACCUGACGAAAGUCAGAAGGUCAAACCAAAACCUCUCUAUGUGCAUUUCGUGCUUGCUGGCAGUAAGCUUGAUACUUCUUCAUAGACACAGAAGCAUACUAAGGAUAAGAACUAUGUUCUAAAAGCUAAGUAUCAUGCAUAAAUCUCUCAUGAUUAUCCUUCUGCUAAAAGACCCAAAGUUGUAAGAACUUUGGGAAAACUAACAAAAGAGGAUCCAAAAAAUAGGUACCUAAGGAUAAAAUAAUUUAUGUUGCAGACAUCCUUAACAACUUAGCUGAAACACUAGUCAUGGUACCUGGACAGUGGAUGCUCGCGACAUAGACAUGUAAAAGGUAUAUGUUCAAAGAUUUGGAACUUAAGCCUGGAGGCUUCGUUGGUUUCAGAGGAAACCAAAAAGGAAAGAUCAUUGGCUCUGGAACCAGUGGUAACGAUAAACUUCCUUCUAUUACUAAUGUUCUUUUAGUUUAUGGUCUGAUGCAUAACCUGUUGUCUAUUAGCCAACUUAGUGACAAUGGUUAUGAUAUCAAUUCUAAUCAAAAGUCUUGUGAGGUUGUUAGUCAGAAAGAUGGUACGAUCAUUUAUAUUGGAAAGAGGCAAAACAACAUUUAUAAAAUUAGACUUUCUGAUCUUGAAGAUCAAAAUGUAAAAUGUCUAAUGUCUAUUAGAGAGGAGCAAUGGGUAUGGCAUAGACGCUUGGGCCAUGUUAGCAUGAGAAGGAUUUUUCAGCUAAAUAAGCUUGGAUUAGUCAGAGGUCUACCCAAACUGAAGUUUUCUUCAGUUGCUCUUUGUGAAGCAUGUCAGAAAGGCAAGUUUUCUAAAACAUAUUUCAAAGCAAAAAGUGUUGUUUCUACCUCUAGACCGUUAGAACUUAUGCACAUUGAUUUGUUUGGACCAAUGAAACUGCUUCUAUCAAUGGAAAGAAGUAGGGAUUGGUCAUAGUUGAUGACUACAGUCGUUGGACAUGGGUAAAGUUCUUGAAACACAACCAUGAGUCACAUUCUGUGUUUUCUAAGUGCUGUUCACUAGUGCAAAGAGAAAUGAAUUGCAAAAUAGUCCAAGUUAGAAGUGAUCAUGGUGAAGACUUUGAAAAUAAACAUUUUGAAAAUAUUUUUGAUUCAAAUGGUAUUUCCCAUGAUUUCUCUUUCUCUUGUCCUAGAACUCCACUACAAAAUGGAGUUGUAGAAAGGAAUAAUAGAACUUUGCAAGAAAUGGCUCGCACCAUGAUCCAAGAAACUGAUAUGGCUAAGCAUUUUUUGGCAGAAGCAGUUAACACAACUUGUUAUAUUUAGAACAUGAUUUCUAUUCGACAUAUUUUGGGUAAGGCUCCUUAUGAAUUGUGGAAGAACAAAAAACCCAACAUUUAUUAUUUUCACCCUUUUGGAUGUGAAUGUUUUAUGUUGAACACUACAGAGAAAGCCCAACGUAGAAUUCUGCAUUUAGCAGCAGUUUUGCAUUCUAUUGCGACUUGUCAGUCGUCAGUUUCGUGACAGGCCACCCGUCAUGACUAAACUGAUUUGGUUCAAAUAUGGUUUUGAUCAUAACUUGAGUUUUAGCACUCGGACUCAGACGCAGUUCAAAGUGUUGGAAAGCUAACCCACAGAGUUACAUUAUGGUAGUGAGCUGUGAGAUUAAUUUCCAUGUAUGAAUGAUGUUUAUAUCUUGUGAAGUGUAGAAUUAUGUGACUUUUUGUAUUUACUUAAUGGUAAAUUGAUGUUAUAAUGAUUUAAUAUGAUCAAAUGUCAUGUGGAUAUAAAUUUGAUGAGGUGUUGUUGUUUGGUGUUGUUUGUUAAUUAUCUUAACAUUUAUUAAUUGUGAAGUAUUGAGAAUGAUGUUGUACAUAAUGGUGAUAAAUGCAUGAUGAUAAUUUUGUUGAUUAUUUUGGUGAUACUGCAUGUUAUUGAGAGUCAUCCAUCAUGGUGUAUGAGCUUCACUCCAGUUUUGGUAUGCUCUGGUCCUACGGUAGGGAUUCAAGAACGAGUAGCUGGUUCGAGAUAGGAAUCGAUGAAGCAUUGGAACGCCGUGAAAAAUACAGAGUCGCCACCAGAUUUUAUUUAUUCCAAAGGAAAGGAAAAUAGCGAUAAAACCCCAAAUGAGAGAAACGGUCUCGCAACCAAGAGCGGAUUCGGAAGUCGGUUAUGCAAGGGAAAGGUAUUAGCACCCCUCAUAUCCAUGGUACUCCAUGGGAACCACUUGCUCGUAUCGAAUGCGUAUGGAUGUUUAUUUAUCUAUAAAUUGCUUGCUAUCGGGAAUGAGAUGAGAGAAUAAGGUGGGAGAAAAAAAGUUUUAAGUUAGUGUGCUCGCUAAGGAUUUAGGCCAUUGUGCCUACGUAUCCCCAUACGUGCAAUAGGGAAGUCAGAGCUUCGUAAUUUGGCUCAAAAAUGGCGUAUUUGUUUGGUUAUUUUUACUGAACAAUAUUAAUGUUCACGCGUUACUGUUCACUUUCUUGUAUACUCUGUCAUGGGAGCGGAAAGUAUUUGCUUGUUUGCGGUAAAGUGGAUACGCUUGGUUCGCACUCUAGCAGUUAAGCAUUACUUGCUCACACUUGGAGGCUUAAGCUUCGUUCACGGUAGAACGGAAGUAACACGUCCUUAUUGAAAGGUUUUGAAUAGGGUGCACUAAGGCAAAAUAUGAUUUAAUUUGUUGGGGUCGAUUUUAUGCAUGGAGACAAGCAUUAGACCCUUGGCUAGAUACAAUCAACGGUCCAAUAACUCGGGAGUUGAGAGGACAUUAUUGUCCUAAUCACUAUUUUUCAUCCAAAAUAGAGAUUUGAAUUGUGAAAAGAAUUUGGCAAGUUUAAUCGUUGGAACUUAGACAGAGACAAGUCUCUAACCCUUGACUAAGUACGGUCAACGAUCAAAGUACUUGGGAAUCGAGAGGACAAUGAAGUCCUAACUAUUAUUUUUCAUCCUCAUAGCACCUAGAUCUAACUUGUUUGAAUGAUUAUAUGUUUUAAGGGGGAAAGUCAAGUGUCGGGUCCUCAGGCUAGGUACGGCCGACAACCCAAUUACUUGAAUGUUGUGUACAAACACGUACACCCAAUUUGCAUUCCCAUUUGUUAUGAAAAUGGUUUUAAGAAAAGGUACUUAACGUUAGAUCAAGCAUUCAAAUUUAUUAUGAAAAUAGUGAGUGAAGAGUGAAGGUGAGAGAUAGAAUGGAUCGAAAUCAACAUGUGGAAACACAACAACAAACGAGUUAGCAUGAGAUAAAAUCGAAUGAGUGAGAAUGAUGCAACAAUAUGUAAGUACAUACAAUGGUUAGAAUCGAUUCGAAAGGUAAUGGAUUAACCAAUGAAAAACAAUCAAAGAUAUAUCCUACGAUCAUGGAAAGUGGAAUUAGACAUACAAAAUGUUUAUCACCUAAAUUGAAAUGGGAUUUUCAAUUUAAUCAAAAUGAUCAUAAACCAAAAGAAUCGAUUAAAUGGACAAUUAAAGUGAGUACUAAUUCUAAAAAUUAAAAAUCUACCUAAACAUGCAUUAGGAUCACAAUCAAUCGAAUAUGACAUUCACAAUCCAAACUCAAGAAUCAAAUCUAACGACUAUGAUUAUACAAAUCAAAUUGAGUGGAAAUUAACCUAAGUUCUAAUCAUGGAAAAAUCGUACGUUAACCAUAUUAAUCGCAACAUAAAUCCACAAAAUGAAAUAGCCAAAAUCUAAUGACUAAAGCCUAAUCAUGGCAUGCUUAAUCGAAUGAGAAUUAAUUCUGGAAAAUUAAGAAAUUUAAUCUAAUCUAGAAAUGAUUAAACCUGUUAUACCUAAUUAUUCUAACUAAGUCUAAUUAUCCAUUAACCUAAAGAAAAGUGUGUUAAUCCUAAUUACAAAAAAAACAUGAGUUAAUCUAAUUCAUACCAAAACAAUCAGCAUCAUGAUUAACAAGAAAACUGGGAUUAAAAAUGAAUCAACCUAAUUAAAGGUGGAUUAAGCAUGGGUUGAUUAGGAUUAACACCUGUAGCGGUAAAUUCAUGACCAUCAAGCUAUGGAUAAUCUAGACGUCAAUUAAACCAGAGUCGCCACCGCGCUUUUAUUGUUUCCAAGGGAAAAAGGGAAAAGUACGAACAAAACCCAAAAAUAAGAAGUUUUCAAAUUAAAACUAAUAAAAUGCCAGAGAUUACAGGUAAGGGGGUUGGUUACAAAGAGGGAAGGUGUUAGCACCCAAAGUAUCCUAGGUACGCCUAGGGAGCCCUUUUUGUGUGCAUAUGUGUUUUUUGUACAAAAUGAUGUUUGCAAUAAAUAGAGUGAAGGGAUGAGACAAACCUACAAAUCCUCUUAACAACCAAAUCGAAACAAAAAAAAACCACAGCGAAACAAGUUCAAACACAAACCCUAAUUUUGAAAUCAAACCCUCAACAGUAGCGAUUCAAUGCAAUUAACAAGGGGUUUUUAAUCAUUUCAAAAAGGCGAAUGCAAUGGUAUGAAGAUUUUAGGCAAAGAAGAGACAAGAAGACUACUUGAUCAGAGCUGGUCCGACGGCGAUGUCUUCUCCGACGUGAUUCAGAUAAGUCUCCUUCUUCUCUUUAAAUGCUCUCCUUCUUCACCUUCUUCUUGCUCUUUCUUGAUGGUGUUUAUCGUGUCGUUGGUGGUUUGAGCUCUCUUAGGUCAGAGUUUCAGACUGAAACUCUAACUUAAGUUUUAUAAAUUAUUGAGCUUUAGGUAAGGGUUCUGGUGAGUUUUUGGCAGAGUAACAGUGUAUGCGUCUCUUUUUUAUCUGGCGUAAUAGUUUCAUUUAUAGGGCAAGAGUGAGGGAUACGUGUGUAAAAUUCUCCUGAAUGAUGAGCUGGUGAUUUUGGUUAGGAUAGAUCCGUUAGAAGAUCUUGGCACAUCCCAAAUUUUGUGGGAUCCAAUUGUGAGUGGGGAACGACAAUUUUGAUACCUCUGGUGUAUUCUUUUUGUUUGUAAAUUCUUCUUGUGGUCCCCAAACUUGUGAUAUUCGUGAUAGUAAUACUACAAAAUAACUAUUAAUGACUGCUUUCUAUGUUUCCUUACAUCUUCGUGUGAUUCAAUCGCUUUUAUGAUUCCAACUGAUGAUUUUUUUUUCUUUGAAGAAUUAUGGAACAAUAUGUAAUUGAUUUUGAUUAAUAUUGUGAUGCCAUUGAUUUGCUUUCUUACAGGUUAUGUACAUGCUGAUUUAGGAAGUGAUUCGCGCGCUAGUAUACAUUACAACAAGUUAAGGUCUCAUGGUCCCUGAUUGACGAAAAACUUAUUUUCAGCUGGAUGGGUCCGUGGUGCAUUGCCUUGGUCGUGACUUGGUUUCAUCAAUUAGGACUUAGCAUUAUAUUGUUUUAUAAUGAUAAUUUGGGAAUAGACUAUGUACGAUCUCCUAGACUUUAUUCCAAAUUUUGUGAAAAAGAAAAGAAACCAAAUACAUGUGGUACACGUAAACAACCUUUUGGAUUAUCUUAAUCAAUUCGUAUAUACGUUUUAAUUGCAACUUAACUUUAGAACAACCCAACUAAUAGUAAGCAAUGCCUCAUGUAAUUAUUAUGAGACAAAGUGGACCAUGAAUUUUGCAAACUCGGACUUAAUCAGGCAGUCAUCACAAGUAAAAUGACAUUUAAUACUUGCUAACAAGAAAGUGGAUUUGGAAUGUGUCGUAUGGAAAUGACUUGCACCACACAUUAAAAUUGCAAUAUUUAUGAUGAACAUGUUGACAUGAAUGGGCUUUUAAACCAAGAGAUCUUGUGAAUAACCGAAAUGAGCCUUGUAUAACCAAAAAGUCCCAAAAUGCACAUACCACCCCACGCACUGGUAAUAGCUAUAAGAGAUAAACGCAACAGAUUUUUGGGUUACUAACAAGGAACUUAAGAGAUGAAACACCACUGAAAAAAAUGUUGAAAGUUUGAUGACACUGAGAGUCUUUUAGAAUGAACGUGUGAGCAUUGAAUGGAACUUUGGCUAGGCAAGUGAAACCUUACUAGAAAUGAUGGGAAGUUUGGAGUAGCUUAGGGCUGGGAAAACCCUAUGAAAAAAGCUGGUCAUUUUUUAGGGCUGAUGAAGUUUUGAUAAAGUAAAAGCCUCCAAGUUUUGAGUAUAUGUGUCGUGCUUUUUUUUUUCAUGGAUGCUUAACGAAAGUUUUUUUGUUAACUAAACCGGGAAAAAUCAGGGUAUGACAGUGGUGGCUUGUACCAAAUUCACACAUAGGACACACUUUAUGUCCCUUGACGUUGUACCCAAACAAAUUAAUGUAUUCAGGAAAGUCAUUGAUUAUGCAAAAUAACAUGGCACACAGCUUAAAGUUAUCACAUGUAUACACAUCAUCAACAUCAACACCUUCCUCCAAAAAAGUCUUGAAUCUUCAAUCAAUGGCGUUAAAUAAACAUCUAUGUCCUUUCCUGGUUAUUUUGAACCCGAAAUCAUCAUCGAUAACAUCAUAUGUUUGUGAUUCAUGCACAACCAUGGAGAUAGGUUGUAAAUUAUGAAAAGAACAUGCCAUGACGUAUGGUUAGCACUCAAAUACCAAAAGUAAUCAUUUCUUCGGUUGCAAGUCCAAGCCCGACGUUUCUCAGUUCAAGGGCAAAAUCUGGAAACAAGGAAUCAAUAUUAUUCCAUUGCAAUGAAUCAACUACAUGGCAAAUUUUUCCAUCUACAUGCCAUCUAGUAUUCUUUUCCUCAUUUACAUUAGCAAACAAUCUCUUGAACCUUUGAAUUAUCGGUAGGUACCACAUCACCUUGGAAGGAACACACUUUCUAGUUAAACUGUCAUCGUCUUCAACACCAUUUUCCUUCUGCAUGAAGCGUGACUUCCCAUAUUUCGGACACUCCUUCAAGUUUUCAUAUCUUUUUCCUAUAUAAUAUGCAAUCAUUGUGACAUGCAUGUCUUUUGACAUAAUCUAAAUCCAUUGGACAUAAUAUCUUUUUGUCCUCAUAACUACGUUUCGACAACAUGUUACCUUCUGGAAGCAUUUCUUUCAACAAUUCAAGCAAUUUUGUGAAACUUAUAUCCGUUCACCCACCUCCUGCCUUAAGAUUAAAUAGUCUUAACAUAGCUGACAAUCUUGUAAAACUUUCGCAUCUUGGAUACAACGACUCUUUCAUGUCUCUUUGCAAAGUAUCUACCACAUUAGCUUUCUUGAAAGCAUCCACUCCAAUAUCAUGAAUCAUGUCUUUUAGAGUAUCAUUCAUAAAUUCAUCAUCAUCUUCAACUAUAUGUGGUAGAAGUUUUUUUUAUCACUUCACUAUGUCAUAUCCAUUUCGUAUAAUUUUGAAUAAUUUCAUCACAAUGUAAAUGAUUGAAUAUAACAACACUUGGAUGUUUUUGCGUAUUUCAGCAAAUUUUACAAGGACACCAAAAAAAUUCCAUUAUCGUUAGGAAGAUUUUUUUUCGCGAAUUCAAAAAAGUGAAUCACUCCCUAACGAGGCAACAACAUCAACGACGACCAUAAUACCACCACCACCACCAACAACAACAACAAUAACAAUAACAACAAUGACGACAGAAACAAUAACAACAACAACAAUAAAUGAGAAUUUAUACAUACCAGAAAUAUGAUGAGAGACUCUAAGAAAAGUUUUGGUUUGAGGUUCGAGUUUUCUUCCUCCUUGAAGAAUAAUUGUGUUUCAGUUUCGUUUGCUGGAGAAGAAUAGUGUUUCAAUAUCGUUCGCUAGCUAGGGCGCAAAAAAUGAACGAGACUUAAUUAAAUCUAAAGGAAUAAAAAUUAUUAAGAGAGUUUUUAUGUCGAUUUUAUUAAAAAUCCGCAGAACAUAUUCGACGUGAAAACUAUAAAAAAUAAAUGCGCAUUUUUAAUUCUGAAUAAAACAUAAAAUUGCAAGCGCUGGAAAUCGAAAUUCAAACCCAUAAUAACUUUUUAUGUCGAUUUUUGGGAAAACUGAGGUAAAAGAUUAAGUUUUUUUUAAAAAUAAAAUAAAUAAAUGACGCCUUUCAGAUCAUUUGACAUCGAUUUUUCAAUUGUUGAAAUGAAAGUUUCAUCAUAAAAUAUAUUAUUUGUAAUAAUGCAACUUGGUGCUUGUAUCGUCCGACACCCCUGAAAACGGAUGUGGCAGCUCCACGUGUCUAUGUUCUUGCUCUUGUCGUGCAUCCAUCACCAACCGAUUUUAUAAGGCUUCUCAUCUUAGGCCGCCGCAUUGAAUAACCUUACUGUCGCAUCCUCGACUACCACCACUAGUAAAAAAGUAAUUUUAUACUAAUUUUUUUUAAAAAAAUACACCAUUAGAUGACUUUAACUAAAGACCUCGAAUACAAAAAAAAAAAGGGUUUUUACGCUCACAAUAAUCGUAUACUAAAGAAAUUUAGUUAAUUAAAAUUGACUAUUGAAUAUCUCUAAUAUAAGACUCCAGUCUUUAAUUUUUAUCUGUUGUUACUACAUGAGAACUUACUUAGAAGACCUCCGAAAAAUUAAUAAAAACCUUAGUUUCAAACGACUUCGGUACUUUUUCUCAAGGCAAAUUACAGUCCGUGGCUAAAACGUAGCGGUGGAAGAUAAUUGUAGAAAAUUUCCUCGUUUUAAAAUGGAAAGAGUAUGUCUCGAAGUUAUUAAAAUUCCAGUUGGAACACCCUAAAGACAGAGCAGCAAAAAGAAACUCUAAAUCAGUAGGCCCACUACAUAUGCUCCAAAACCAAACUAGAAGCGGUAAUAACAUCACGUGGGUGUAAUCAAGACCAAAUAGUCCCAUCCUUCCCAACCUUGUUUUACUCGUGUCAUCGUUUGUCUCUGUCCACUACUAUCUAUGGCUUUUGCGUGUCCGAAUUUCAACUAUCACCUUUCCACUGUCUCAUUCUCUCCUUUCUCAAAUUCACUAAUUUGUUUAUAGUAAUAUCUCUAUAUAAAACUCUCUAAUACAAAAAAGAAACAAGAGAUCAAGGCCAGGGUACACAAUGAAAACGAUGUUUUGUUUUAUUUAGCCCACUGUAUUUAUUAAUAAAUUAAUAAUUAACAAUCCUCCAACAUUACAAUAGUUAACCAAACAUAUUCUAUAUAUGAUACCAAUCUUCUACCUACUCUCAUCAUAUUCUCAAACAGCAAAAUGAGUUCUCAAGAUUCUCUUUCUCUUCAAUCAACCUUCACUUUACUCUUCUUCUCUUUCACCUUUCUAUUCUCAAUCUUUUCUCUUCUCGUCUACAUCUCUAGAAUUAAACCAUGGUGUAACUGCAACACUUGCAAAACUUACUUAUCUGUGACUUGGUCACAAAACUUCAUAAAUCUUUGCGACUACUACACACAUCUUCUUCAAACCUCACCCACAGGAACAAUCCAUGUCCACGUCUUAGGUAACAUCAUAACCGCAAAUCCAGAAAAUGUCGAAUACAUCCUCAAAACAAAUUUCAAUAACUACCCUAAAGGGAAACAGUUUUCCACCAUUCUCGGCGAUCUUCUCGGCCGUGGCAUCUUCAACGUCGACGGUGAUUCAUGGAAGUUUCAACGCAAAAUGGCGUCUCUUGAACUCGGUAGCGUAGCUAUUCGUUCAUACGCUAUGGAACUUGUCACAGAAGAAAUCAAAACGAGGCUGAUUCCUCUCAUAGCUUCGAAAACUGGUCAAAAUGAUGAUGCUUUUAUGGACAUGCAAGAUAUUCUUAGGAGAUUCUCGUUCGACAACAUUUGUAAAUUCUCAUUUGGUUUUGACCCAUGUUGUCUUGUUCCAUCACUUCCUGUUUCAAAGCUCGCUGACGCUUUUGAUAUCUCAUCAAAGCUUUCAGCUGAGAGAGGAAUGAGUGCGUCACCGUUAAUAUGGAAGAUGAAGCGUUUCUUCAACGUUGGGUCAGAGAAGAAUCUCAAAGAAGCGAUUAAAGUGGUGAACGACUUAGCAAAGGAAAUGAUAAAACAAAAACGAGAAGUUGAAAUUGGAGUUGACUCGCGAAAAGAUCUUCUGUCGCGUUUUAUGGGUUCUUUGAAUUCAAACGAAGACGAAUAUUUAAGAGAUAUUGUAGUUAGUUUUCUUUUGGCGGGUCGUGAUACGGUUGCUUCAACUUUAACCGGGUUUUUUAUUUUAUUGUCGAAGAACCCGGAUGUUGAGAAAAAGAUACGGGUUGAGUUAGACCGGGUGAUGAACCCGGUUCAGGAAGUUGCUACUUUUGAACAGACACGUGAAAUGCAUUAUCUAAGUGGAGCGAUUCAUGAGAGUAUGAGACUUUUUCCAGCGGUUCAGUUCGAUUCAAAGUUUGCUUCAGAGGAUGACGUAUUACCGGAUGGAACUUUUAUAAAGAAGGGAAGUCGGGUUACUUAUCAUCCUUAUGCUAUGGGUCGGAUGGAGACCAUUUGGGGACCCGAUUUUAUGGAGUUUAAACCGGAGAGAUGGUUGAGAGAAGGUGUGUUUGUACCAAAAUGUCCUUUUAAGUAUCCGGUUUUUCAAGCAGGUGCGAGGGUUUGUUUGGGAAAGGAACUGGCUAUUGUAGAGGUGAAGGCUGUUGUUGCUGCUUUAGUGAGACGGUUUGAUGUUCGGGUUGUUGGACCGAAUCAGGAGCCACGGUUUGUACCGGGACUAACUGCCACGUUUGGAGGUGGCUUGCCGGUUAUAUUUUAUGAAAGAAAACAUGAAUCUUAAGAAUUAAGUUAUCGUUAGAUUGUAAUAACUUUAGUAGCUUGAAAACUAUGCGUGAAUAAUUUUGGUGGCAAACAGUAGAUUUUUUUAAUUAUAAAUAUAUGUUUUCUUUUAAAUUUUAAUUUCUUUUUUUCACUAUGACCGUUUAUUAUUUUUUAUAUCAUUAUUUCUAAUUGUUUUAUAAAUAAUUUAAAAUAAAAUUAAAAUUAUAUAAAUUAUGUAACAAGAAUAAAAUAAAUCCUCGAAAUUCGAAAGAGCGGUGGAUGCAACCAAAAAGAAACAAAACUCAUAAGUUUUAGGUUUUAGGAAUUUUGCCUUCAAAUUUCAUAGAAACCGGUCUAUGUUCCACAAUCACAUGGGUGAGUCUAUCAAGAGUAUUCUUGUAGUGUUGGUACUCCCUCAUACUAAGCAUAAAUCUCAUUAAGAGUUUCUAUUAUCUCAUUCUCUUAUCGCUUCAGGAUUCAUGUUUCUCUUAUUUACUCUAUCCUGAUCACCUCAUAUUACUCACAACUAUUUAUUGAGAUCUCCAGUCAUUUAGGUCGAGUUACCAUUAUGAGCAACUCAUUUUUCUAUAGGCAUUAGUCUCAUCUUAUUGGAUGUAUUAUAGACUAUUUCUCUAGCUAAUCCUUUCGUCAAAGGAUCUGCUAAAUUUUCAUCGUUGUGUACAUGAUCCAAUCUUACAACUCCUUUAGAGAUACAGUCUCUAACAAUGUUAUGCUUCCUCCUUUUUUGACGUCACUUGUCAUUAUACUAUCAGUUCUCAAUUUUUUCAAUAGUCACAAUACUAUCGCAGUGGAUCAACACAGUUGACAUAGGAUUUUCCCACACAGGGAUCUCAGAUAACAAUCGUUUUAACCAACUAGCUUCUUCACUAGCAGUCACUAAUGCUAUCAUCUCAGACUCUAUUGUGGACUGAGCCAGGAUAGUUUGUUUCUUUGAUUUCCAAGAUAUAACUCCUUUAGUUAUAUUGAAUAUAUAGCCACUAGUUUCUUUGGAAUCAUCUAAUAAGGUGUUCCAAUUUGCAUCACUGUAUCCUUCAAGUACAACAAGAAAUCUCUGAUAAAGCAAACCGAGAUUGAUGGUCAUUUUAAGGUACCGCAUGACUCACUCAAUAUCUUAUCGAUGCUCAUUACUUGGUCUACUAGUAAACAUGCACAAUCAUCCUACGACAUAUGUAAUGUCAGGUCUAGUACAAUCAAUGGCAUAUCUAAGACGGCCAAUGAUGCUCACGUAUUAUGUUUGUCUGAUACUUUCACCAAUGUUCUUAAACAGUUUUACACUUGGAUCAUAUGGUGUGCUCAUAGGUUUACAGUCAAAGUAUUAUAUUUCUUUAAGAUCUUUUGAUCAUAGUGUGAUUGAUCCAAUGAAAUUCCUUUUUUGAAUAUAGUGAUCUUGAUUCCAAGAAUCACACUCGCUUCUUUGAGGCCUUUCAUCUCAAAGUUGUUGCUCAACAAUGAUUUCACAUCAUUAACAACCUGAAUGUUUGAUCCAAAUAUGAGUAAAUCGUCUAUAUAGAGAUAUAUGAUAAUGAAAAUGUGAUUCUCAAAUCAGUAAUAAACGCAUUUGUCACUCUCAUUCACUUUGUACCCAUUUGAUAUCAUUAAGUUAUCAAACUUUUUAUGAAAUAACUUAGGAGCUUGUUUUAGACCAUAAAUAGACUUAUAUAACUUACAGACCUUAUUUUCUUACCCAUGAAUCACAAACCCUUCCGGUUUGUCAAUAUAGAUUUCUUCUUCUAAGUCACUGUUCUAAAAAGUUGUUUUAACAUCCAUUUGGUGUAACACUAUGUUAUAAAUAGUUGUUAUUGAAAUCAAAACCCUAAUGGAUGUAAUUCGAGUGAUUGGCGAAAACGUGUCAAAGAAAUAUAUAUUUUCUCUUUGCUUAAAACCUUUGGAUACAAGGAGAACCUUUUACUUAUCAGCAGUUCCAUCAGGUUUUAGUUUCUUUUUCAAAACCCAUUUACAACCGAUUGAUUUGCAACUAGAAGGCAAGUCUACUAAGUGUGAGGUCCUGUUAGAUUCUAGAGAACUUAUCUCAUCGUUAAUAGCUUCUUGCCACAAAUCUGCAUCCAGAAAUGACAAGGCUUCUUUGAGAUUUGUUGGAUCUUGUUCUACUGUAUGACGAAGGUGAUGAGAAAACCAGAUAUAUUACGAAUUCGACAAGCUCUUCAUUUCUACUGCAACCUUUUUCUUCUUCUUCAAUUCUUCUUCUUUCUUCUACAUUUUUCUCUAGUAUGUAGGAUCUUGAUGUAUCACUUUGUGUUGCUACUCUUGCUUGAUGCUACGUGAGUGCAUAAUGAGUUAGGAAGAGUUUUGAGCUCAUCUGUUAGAGCUUCCAAUGCUGAAGCUCUACAAUUAUGGUGAUGUGAAUAUGUGGUGAGGGUGAGGAAGAUGAAUUCAGAAGUUGCAGAGAGAUUGAUGAAUUCAGAAGUUGCAGAGAGAUUGAUGAAUUUUUGCAAUGUGAGAAUGGUUCCCCUGAAUGAAGAGGGAAUGCUAUUUAUACAGAGUGAUUUGUGUAACUGAUUGGGGAAAUUAGGCACGCAAAGUUAGGGCAGGUGUUAGUUUUGUUAAGAUUUCACAGUGUAAGUCAGUUAGAAGUUAGAUUUUGUUAUGACUAUGUUAGAUGAGAAUAAUUAAUGACACUUAUAUUAGAGUUAGCUCUGUUUAGCGUUAAUGUUAAUGAACGUUACAAAUUGAUUAAAGUGAAGUUAUUGAGUUGAGUUGAAUGAGUUAGUUUCCCACUGCAUUGCUAUGGAAUGCGGCUGGUUUAUUAACUUUGUGUUGAGACGUUAGUGAAAUGAAAUUGCUUAUGAAAUUGAACUGUUAUUGUUAGUGAAGUUGUUAUGUGAACUUAGAGAUUUGUUUGCAUUUUGAUGAAUGGUUGAAACUGUUUUAAUUGGCUGUGCAACGUUAUAAUGAAUUAACUUGAUUUGUCCAUGAGCUAUAGUUUCUAACUUGAAUGAAUUAGUGGAUAUACUGAUGGUUAAUGCUAGAAGUUAGUUGAAUUUAGUUUAGUGAAUUAUACUGAAUUUGAAAAAUGAAAGUUAGUUAUUUUGAUGGUAAUUAGAGUGAGUUGCUUAUGCUAGGAGGAUAAAUAAUGAAUUUGAAUGCAUGUAUGGAUUGCCAUGUUUAAGUUGUGUAGUGUUAGUUUGUUAAGUUGAAUUCGUUAGCUAUGUACUGCCUUAGCCUUGAUUUGAAAAUUAUGUUAUGCUUUGAAUUUGAAUCAAUUUUAUUGUUAAAAGAUGCAUGUUGUGAUUAAAUUUAUGAUGUUGGCUGCGCAAUUGCAAGGAGUUCCUACUGCAUUGCAAAUGUUAGGUUAGAAAGGAAUUGAAUUGGUUAUUGUAUGAAUGCUAUUUUGGAUUGGCACUGACGGUUAGUGAUUCGUUUGAUUGAAGAGAAAAUUGAAUUUAGUUAUAGCAUUAGUAUUGAUUUGUAAACUAAAGUCAUGCUAGUCCCUUAUAGUUAAUGAAAAUUGAAAGUAACCGGAAUUGUGAUUUAUGGAGCUAGUAUAGAUAUUUCAACUAGGAAUAAAUAGCCAAAUGAUUCGGAAGAAUAGUAAAUAAUUUCUAAGUAUGCUGACUAUUUAGUAAAUGAGUAGAAUUGAGUUUAUUUUGAUAUGGGAAAUAGUUAGUUAAUGUUUUUUUUUUAUUGUUAUGAGUUCAUGUUAAUGGUUAUUUGAUGUUUGGUUAUGAUGUAGGUUUGAUUCUGGUGCAACUUCAUGGUUCUGGCAAUGCAUAGCAACAUGAGGGCAAGAUGGAUGAAGAUCACUUGGAGAUGCAUCAGGGAGUGAACACAGUGUUAUAGUUAGGGUUAGGAUUUGUAGAGUUGAUUUUGGCCAACUGUUUGACCAAAAGUCAACCAUAGGUCAAACAACAAUUUCCCUUGUAAUUUCCACUUUUGAUACCUUUGUAAUGAAUUUUUACACUUGAAUGAAUGACUUGUAACUUGUUUUCCAAGUAACCCAAUUUUACUUCCAUUUCUAAAUUGAAUAUUCUUGAAUUUGAAUGAUUAAAUGCCAUCUUUGAAAUGAAAUAUGAAUCAUGAUGGCCUUGAAUCCCAAUCAAACAAACUAAUGGACUAAUGCACAAACCCAAUAAGAUCAAUUGAAUUCUAUCCAUCCAGGUUGACCUAAUGUAAAUUGUAAUCCAAAACCAAGCUAAUUCCCUAAUGCAAACUGUAACACCCUUCUAAAUACCCCAAAACUAAUAAUUUAAAAUAAUAACAUAUAAUAAUCAGAGUAAUUAUGCCCCGAAGGGUGUCACACGAUCAUCAAACAAUAACCAUCAAAUAGGUCCUGUCAUGUAUUAUUGGAUUUAUUCAUUGGAUACUAAUUUUUAUGGAAUAAAAGUGGAAAUCAGAAAAAGGUCCCAUUGGGUAAACAAGGUUUAUUGUUUUCACGUGGAAAGGAAAAAGAGGGCAGAACGUGGGAAAGGGCAAAAACGAGAACGAGAGGAGACAAGGGAUUGAAGGGAGAAAAGCUUGAAGCUGCAGAAUUAUUGCCGGAUUAACUCAGGUAAGGGGGUUUAUCGUUGAUUAACGGGUAUUGUAUGAUAAUUGUCAUGGGGUAAGUGCUAGACUUUAAAUUACCUUGAAUUUGGAUGAUUAUGAUGAAUUUGUGGAAAUCAAUGAUGAAACGAAAUUGGUGAUAAUCGAAAGAAAUUCGUAGGAAGUGUUAGUGAUACAUGUCAGGAGUUGUGAAAUCGAAUAGGGAAUGCAUUCGGGUUAGAUGAUAUGAGUGAUUUCUGUGUAACAUUUGGACUGUGAAGGUGAGAUCGAAUAGAACUCGUAGCAGGAAAAAUAUAGGCAGAUCUGGAAAUCUGGUUUGCUGGUCUAACGCGUAAGGCACUAGCAAUACGCGUAUGGAGGCUGGUUACGCGUAUGGCGCUAGGCAAAUAGGCGUAUGGAUGAGGAAGAUGAAUUUUGAACGUAUAAAUGGUCUCGGUGUACGCUAUGGGGAAGUGAUAUACGCGUAGCAUACGCGUAUGGAGUUGGGCAAUACGGGCUUGGUCUGGAUUUAGGCAAUACGCGUAUGAGCAUAGCAAUACGCGUAUGGGCAGGAUUGUGAUUUUCCUGUGCUGUUGUUGUGCAGUUUUUGACUGUUUAGGCUGAGUAGUGAGACUUAGCUGAGGUAUGAUGUAAUAGGGAUCAAUUCCCGUUGUUUUGAGUAGUAUAGUUAUUAGUAGAAUGUGCUAAACUGUGUUUGAUUUUUAUGGCAUGUUGUGAUAUGCUUUUGUGAUAAUGUGUUGACAAUAUGUGUUGGUUGGUAUGCUUUAUACUGUAAAUGUAUCAGUUAUGUAUGUUAGUGAAUAGACUGUUUUUUAUGGCUUAGAGUGUGAGCAUAUGUCUAUCUUGAGUUGAUGUUGUUGUUGCAUUGCUAGGUGAUAGCAUGCAUAGUUUAGCCUUUGGGGCUGUAGCUAAUUCCCAUUGUGAGGAAUUAGUGAGUUGUGGAUUGGUUUGAUGCUUGCAUACUAAAUGAGUAGCGUGCAUAGUCUAGCCUUUGGGGCUGUAGCUAAUUCCCAUGGUGAGGAAUUAGUGAAGUGAGUCACUAGAUCUCAAUGAGUGGGAUAGUGAGCUCAGUAGCCGUAUCCAGAGGAUCGGUGAGCUUGAACUAUAUGUUCGAGGAUAGUCGGUACCGCAUGUGUAGAGUCUCAUUGCAUAAUGAAUGCAUGCGCAUAGCCGGUGGGGCUGUAGCUAAUUCCCAUUGUGAGGAAUUAGUGAGUAAAUCGUUGUGUUGUGUUGUUGGUAUGGAGUAUGGGUUGAGAUUAUAUAUAGAUAUAUAUGCUAUAUGUUAUUGCUGGUAUGAUGUUGCGUUGAUACUGCCGUUAUGGAGUGUGUAGUCUGGUUGGGGUGAUUUGAUGCGUCAUUUACUUAACAUUACAUAAUGUCGUAAAUGCCUGUUAUAUUGAUUGAAGAACUCACCCUUACAACUCUUUUUAGGUAACGGACAGUGAGUCGAGUAGAAGCUAAUGAUUGGAGUCUAGUGUAGUCUCCUAUGGGUCAUGCUCUGAUAGAUGUAACAUCGGGUGGGAUGUUUGAAUAUUAUCGAUUGGUUGUGACCAUUUUGCAUGUAAUAUGUUACAUGUUUGGAAUAUUGAAUUGAUUUCUAUCCGCUGCGUAUUAUGCAGAUACUUUAUGUUUUGAAUUAAAUAAAUGAGCAUGACAGGACCUAUUUGAUGGUUAUUGUUUGAUGAUCGUGUGACACCCUUCGGGCAUAAUUACUCUGAUUAUAUAUGUUAUUAUUUUAUUAAAUUAUUAGUUUUGGGGUAUUUAGAAGGGUGUUACAUUAGUGUAAUCAGAGCAUAGUCGGUCGUGUCGAGUCGUAGUUAUUGUUUCCCCUGUACGGAUAGGUUUGUGUAACCUAUCAGUACUUACUAUUUUAGCUUGUUGGAUUAACUCAGAAUAAGAGAUGCGGAAGGAGGUAGAGAUGAUGCCUGCGAUUGCUGAGGCUCUGGUAUGCUAGCUGGAGACUUGAGGAAAUCCGAUGUGGUGGGAAUGGGAGCUGCUCGUCAGUUGAGUGAGUUCCAAAAGAACAAUCCUCCAAUGUUCAAGGGAGGCAUACGAUCCAGAUGGUGCUCAGAAGUGGUUGAAAGGAGAUUGAGAGAACUUCAGAGUAACUGAGUGUGCUGAUAACCAGAAGGUCAGGUUCGGUACGCAUAUGCUGUCAGAAGAAGCUGACGAUUGUGGGUUGCUACCCGCACUGAGUUGGAAACUGCUGGAGAUGCUGAGAUUUCUUGGACUGUGUUCAGGAGAGAUUUCUGAGGAAGUACUUUCCGCGAGGAUGCAGAGGAAAGAAAGAAAUUGAGUUUCUUGGAAUUGAAGCAGGGUAACAGGUCCGUUACGGAGUAUGUAUGCUGCAAGUUCAAGAGCUGUCGAAGUAUUACACUCUAUGCUGAGGCUGCUGGGGAAUUUUCCAAGUGUGGAAGUUUGAGAACGGGUUGCGUCCGGAGAUCAAGCAAGCGAUUGGAUAUCAGAGGAUUAGAGUGUUUUCUGAUCUGGUUGACUGUUGCAGGAUUUUUGAACAGGAUUCCAAGGCCAGAGCUGAGAGCUAUCAGCAGAGGGUUGAUAGGAAAGGCAAGAAUCAGAUUGAUCGUGGAAAACCGCAUACAGCUGGCAAAGGUUUUCAGAGGCAGAGAGUGGGAUGAAAGGCCUGUGGGGGAGACUCUAGUGCUCUUGUUAAGUGUUACCGAUGUGGUCGGGCUGGACAUCGUGUUCAUGAGUGUACCGGUGCUGAGAUGAAGUGUUUCAAGGUGUGGAAAAGGUGGUCAUUUGCUGCAGAGUGCCGGUUGAAGACUGUGACUUGUUUCAAUCUGUGGAAGUUGGGUCAUAUCAGUCCACAGUGUCCAAAGCCAAAGAAGAGAAUCAGUCAGGAGGCAAGGUUUUUGCUUUAUCGGGUUCUGAGAUUCUGCAGAUGAUCGUUUGAUCCGAGGUACGUGUUAUAUUAAUGGCUUUCCUCUUAUAGCUAUUAUUGACACAGUGCGACUCAUUCUUUUAUAUCUUGGAUUGCGCUGUGAACUUAAGUUAGAGAUAUCUAAGAUGUUUGGAGUAUGGUGAUUGAUACUCCUGCGAAGGGUUCACUAACUACUACUUCAGUUUGUCUAAGUUGUCCCUUGAGUAUUUUUGGUAGAGACUUUGGGAUAGACCUUGUGUGUCUUCCACUGGUACAGGUUGAUGUUAUUCUGGGUAUGAACUGGUUGGUGUUUAACCGAGUCUAUAUCAACUGUUUUGAUAAGACAGUGAUAUUCCUGAGAUUGAGGAAGGAAAGAGUUUGUUUCUAUCAGCAAGGCAGGUGAAUGAGGCAGUGGUAGAUGGGGCAGAGUUGUUUAUGCUGUUGCGCGAUGGAAGCUAAAGAUAAACUGGUAAUUGGUGAUAUAGCUGUGGUGUGUGAUUUUCCCGAUGUGUUUCCGGAAGAGGUGAACGAAUUGCCACCAGAGCGUGAAGUGAGUUCUCAAUUGAUUUAGUCCUGGUACUAGACCGAUAUCGAUGGCUCCUUAUCGUAUGUCUGCUGUUGAGCUAGCUGAAUUGAAGAGUCAGUUGGAAGAUUUGUUGGAUAAGAAAUUUAUUCGUCCGAGUGUGUCACCGUGGGGUGCACCAGUGUGUGUUGGUUAGAAGAAAGAAGUACUAUGAGGUUGUGUGUGGACUACAGGCAACUGAAUAAAGUGACGAUCAAGAAUCGGUAUACCUUUACCGAGGAUGAUAAUUUGAUGGAUCAGUUGGUUGGUGCAAGUGUGUUCAGCAAGAUAGACUUGAGAUCUGGGUAUCAUCAGAUACGUGUGAAACUGAAGAUAUUCAGAAGACUGCUUUCAGAACAAGGUAUGGCAUUAUGAGUAUUCUGUAAUGCCUUUUGGCGUGACUAAUGGCGCUGGAGUAUUCAUGGAGUAUAUGAAUAGGAUUUCAUCCGUACCUAGACAAGUUUGUUGUGGUGUUUAUCGAUGACAUUUUGGUGUAUUCGAAAUCUGAAGAAGAGCAUGUUGAGCAUUUGAGAGUGGUUUUGAGAGUUCUACGAGAAAAGAAGCUAUUUGCUAAACUAUCUAAGUGUGAUUUUGGUUAGAAGAAUUAGUUUUCUUGGUCAUGUAUUUCAAGAGGUGGUGUGGCUGUUGAUCCUUCUAGAAAUAGAAGCGGUGUCUAAGUGGGAAGCUCCGAAGUCAGUUUCUGAGAUCAGGAGUUUUCUUGGACUUGCAGGUUAUUAUAGAAAAUUCAUUGAGGAUUUUCCAAGUUGGCGUUACCGUUGACAAUGUUGACUAGAAAGGGGCAAGCGUUUGUUUGGGUUCAAAAUGUGAAGAAGGUUUCCAAGAGUUAAGAGAAGGUUGACUACUGCUCCUAUUCUGAUAUUACCGAGUUCGUCGGAACGUUUGAGGUUUAUUGUGAUGCUUCAUUGUUGGGUUUGGGUGGUGUGUUGAUGCAGAAUAAGCAGGUUAUAACUUAUGCUUCGAGACAACUGAGAGUUCAUGAGAAGAACUAUCCGACGCACGAUUUAGAGUUGGCAGCUGUGGUUUGUUCUGAAGUUGUGGAGGCAUUAUUUGUACGGAUCAAGAUUUGAGGUUUUCAGUGAUCAUAAAAGUUUGAAGUAUUUGUUUGAUCAGAAAGAGCUAAAUAUGAGACAAGAGGAGAUGGUUAGAAUUUCUGAAGGAUUAUGAUUUUGGUUUGAAUUACCAUCCGGGUAAAGCAAAUGUAGUGGCUGACGCAUUGAGUAGGAAAUCAUUGCAUAUGUCUAUGUUAAUGGUUAAGAAUUGGAUUAAUUGAGCAGUUUAGAGAUUUGAGUUUGGUGUGUGAAAGUACUCACAAAGUGUUAACUGGGAAUGUUGAAGUUAACCGAGUAGUAUUCUGGAUGAGAUUGAGAGGGUCAGAAAUCUGAUAUGCUUUUGGUGGAUAAGUUGACUUUAGUGAAUCAAGGUCAGGGUGGUGAAUUCCGAGUUGAUGGGAAUGGUGUUUUGAGAUUUGUAAUGCGGUGUGUAUUCCAGAUGUACAGACUUAAGAAGAGUAUUCUUGAAGAAGGACAUCGUAGUGGUUUGAGUAUUCACCCUGGAGCUACGAAGAUGUAUCAUGAUUUGAAAGGUUAUUUUGGUGGCCGGGAAUGAAAAGAGAAAUUGCGAGUUUUGUUUAUUCCUGUUUGACUUGUCAGAAGUCAAAGAUUGAGCAUCAGAAGCCGUCUGGGCUAAUGCAACGUUGGCUAUUCCGAGUGGAAGUGGGAUAGUAUCAGUAUGGAUUUUGUUGCUGGUUUGCCGAGGACAAAUAAGAAUUUUGAGGCUUAUUUGGGUGAUUGUUGAUAGAUUGACGAAGUCGGCUCAUUUCAUUCGAUCAGAAUGGAUUAUCCGUUAGAGAGUUGGCUGAGUUGUAUAUUGAGAAGAUUGUAAGUUUGCAUGGUAUUCGUCGAGUAUUGUUCGGACAGAGAUCCUAGAUUUACAUCAAAGUUUUGGGAUGGGUUGCAGAGAGCCUUGGGAACUAAGCUGAGAUUGAGUUCUGCAUAUCACCCGCAGACUGAUGGUCAGACUGAGAGGACGAUUCAGUCAUUAGAAGAUCUUUGAGAGCUUGGUGUUUGGAAAAGGAGGUGCUUGGGAUUGUUAUUUGCCUUUGAUUGAAUUUACCUACAACAAUGUUUUCAUUCGAGCAUUGGUAUGCACGUGUUGAAGCUUUGUACGGUAGGAGAUGUCGGCGCGCUUUAUGUUGGUAUGAGUCCGGUGAGAGUGCUGUGGUUGGACCGGAAUUGUUCAACAAAACUACGGAAAAGAUUAAGAUGAUUCAGGAGAAGAUGAGAAUUGCUCAGAGUCGUCAGAAGAGUUAUCAUGAUAAGAGGAGAUCACUUGAAUUCCAAGAGGAGAUCACGUGUUUCUUCGUGUUACUCCGAUAACGGUGUUGGUCGAGCUUUGAAGUCGAAGAAGCUGACCCUCGAUUUAUUGGUCCUUAUCAGAUUUUGGAGAGAUAGGAGAGGUAGCCUAUCGUAUCGCCUUACCACCGUCGCUUGCGAAUUUGCAUGAUGUUUUCAUGUGUCUCAGUUGAGGAGAUACAUUCAUGAUCCGUCGCAUGUUGUCCAAGUAAGAUGAUGUACAGGUGAGAGAUACCUGACUGUUGAAACAUCACCUAUGAGGAUCGAGGAUCGAGAGUUGAAGCAGUUGCGGGGUAAGAGAUUGCCUUGGUGAAGGUAGCUUGGGGAGGACCAGCAGGUGGCAAUGUGACUUGGGAACUUGAGAGUCAGAUGAAGGAGUCUUAUCCGGAGUUGUUCGCUUGAGGUAUGUUUUCGAGGACGAAAACUCUUUAGUGGGGAAGAGUUGUAACACCCCAACUAAAAUAAGCUAUAUAUUUAAAUUUAAAUAAUAUUUUUAUUAAUUUAAUUGAAUAAUUGGAAGUUUGGAUUAAUAUUAUUAUUUUUGGGAAUAAUAAUUUAUUGGGAUUAUUAUAUUGGAUUAUUAUUUUAUAAUUGGAAUAAAAGUGGAAAUCAGUAAAAAGGUCCAUUGGGUAAAAGGUUUAUUGUUUUCACGUGGAAAGGAAAAGAGCAGAACGUGGAAAAGGGCAAAAAGAGAACCAGAGAACAAGGGAUUGAAGGGAGGAAAAGCUUGAAGCUGCAGAAUUUGCCGGAUUAACUCAGGUAAGGGGGGUUUAUCGUUGAUUAACGGGUAUUGUAUGAUAAUAUGUCAUGGGUAGUGAUAGACCUUUAAUUUACCUUUGAAUUGGAUGAUUAUGAUGAAUUUGUGGAUAAUUGAUGAACGAAAUUGGGUGAUAACGAAAGAAAUUCGUAGGAAGUGUAUGUGAUAAUGUCAGGAGUUGUGAAAUCGAAUAGGGAAUGAUUCGGGUUAGAUGAUAUGAGUGAUUUCUGUGUAAAUUUGGACUGUGGAAGGUGAGAUCGAAUAGAACUCGUAGCAGGAAAAACUAUAGCAGAUCUGGAAAUCUGGUUUCUGGUCAUGACGCGUAUGGCACUAGGCAAUACGCGUAUGGGAUGGCUGGUACGCGUAUGGCGCUAGGCAAUACGCGUAUGGAUGAGGAAGAUGAAAUUUUGAACGUAAAAUGGUCUCUGGUGUACGCGUAUGGGGAAGUGAUACGCGUAGCAUAACCGUAUGGAGUUGGGCAAUACGCGUAUGGCUUGGUCUGGAUUUAGGCAAUACGCGUAUGAGCAUAGGCAAUACGCGUAUGGGCAGGAUUGUGAUUUCCUGUGCUGUUGUUGUGCAGUUUUUGACUGUUUAGGCUGAGUAGUGAGACUUAGCUGAGGUAUGAUGUAAUAGGGAUCAAUUCCCGUUGUUUUGAGUAGUAUAGUUAUUAGUAGAAUGUGCUAAUACUGUGUUUGAUUUUAUGGCAUGUUGUGAUAUGCUUUUGUGAUAAAUGUGUUGACAAUAUGUGUUGGUUGGUAUGCUUUAUACUUAAAUGUAUCAGUUAUGUAUGCAUUAGUAGAAGACUGUUUUAUGGCUUAGAGUGUGAGCAUAUGUCUAUUCUUGAGUUGAUGUUGUUGUUGCAUUGCUAGGUGAUUAGCAUGCAUAGUUUAGCCUUUGGGGCUGUAGCUAAUUCCCAUUGUGAGGAUUAGUGAGUUGUGGAUUGUUGUUGAUGCUUGCAUACUAAAUGAGUAGCGUGCAUAGUCUAGCCUUGGGGCUGUAGCUAAUUCCCAUGGUGAGGAAUUAGUGAGUGAGUCACUAGAUCUCAAUGAGUGGGACUAGUGAGCUCAGUAGCCGUUCCAGAGGAUCGGUGAGCUUGAACUAUAUGUUCGAGGAUAGUCGGACCGCAUGUGUAGAGUCUCAUUGCAUAAUGAAUGCAUGGCAUAGCCGGUGGGGCUGUAGCUAAUUCCAUUGUGAGGAAUUAGUGAGUAAAUCGUGUGUGUGUGUUGGUAUGGAGUAUGGGUUGAGAUUAUAUAUAGAUAUAUAUGCUAUAUGUUAUUGUUGAGUAUGAUGUUGCGUUGAUACUGCCGUUAUGGAGUGUGUAGUCUGGUUGGGGUGAUUUGAUGCGUCAUUUACUUAACAUUACAUAAUGUCGUAUAAUGUCUUUAUAUUGAUUGAAGAACUCACCCUUACAACUCUUUUUCAGGUAACGAGCAGUGAGUCGAGUAGAAGCUAAUGAUUGGAGUCUAGUGUAGUCUCCUAGUGGUCAUGCUCCUGAUAGAUGUAACAUCGGGGUGGGAUGUUUGAAUAUUUUAUCGAUUGGUUGUGAACCAUUUUGCAUGUAAUAUGUUACAUGUUUGGAAUAAUUGAAUUGAUUUCUAUCCGCUGCGUAUUAUGCAGAUACUUUAUGUUUUGAAUUAAAUAAAUGAGCAUGACAGGACCUAUUUGAUGGUUAUUGUUUGAUGAUCGUGUGACACCCUUCGGGGAUAAUUACUCUGAUUAUUAUAUGUUAUUAUUUUAAAUUAUUAGUUUUGGGUAUUUAGAAGGGUGUUAGUUUGCUUAGGNNNNNNNNNNNNNNNNNNNNNNNNNUGUUCUGCAUUGCUAGGUGCAUUAGCAUGCAUAGUUUAGCCUUUGGGGCUGUAGCUAAUUCCCAUUGUGAGGAAUUAGUGAGUUGUGGAUUGUUGUUUGAUGCUUGCAUACUAAAUGAGUAGCGUGCAUAGUCUAGCCUUGGGGCUGUAGCUAAUUCCCAUGGUGAGGAAUUAGUGAGUGAGUCACUAGAUCUCAAUGAGUGGACUAGUGAGCUCAGUAGCCGUAUCCAGAGGAUCGGUGAGCUUGAACUAUAUGUUCGAGUGAUAGCGUACCGCAUGUGUAGAGUCUCAUUGCAUAAUGAAUGCAUGGCAUAGCCGGUGGGGCUGUUAGCUAAUUCCCAUGUGAGGAAUUAGUGAGUAAAUCGUUGUGUUGUGUUGUUGGUAUGGAGUAUGGGUUGAGAUUAUAAUAGAUAUAUAUGCUAUAUGUUAUUGUUGAGUAUGAUGUUGCGUUGAUACUGCCGUUAUGGAGUGUGUAGUCUGGUUGGGGUGAUUUGAUGCGUCAUUUACUUAACAUUACAUAUGUCGUAUAAUGUCUGUUAUAUUGAUGAAGAACUCACCCUUACAACUCUUUUUCAGGUAACGAGCAGUGAGUCGAGUAGAAGCUAAUGAUUGGAGUCUAGUGUAGUCUCCUAGUGGGUCAUGUUCUCUGAUAGAUGUAACAUCGGGGGUGGAUGUUUGAAUAUUUUAUCGAUUGGUUGUGAACCAUUUUGCAUGUAAUAUGUUACAUGUUUGGAAUAAUUGAAUUGAUUUCUAUCCGCUGCGUAUUAUGCAGAUACUUUAUGUUUUGAAUUAAAAUAAUUUGGGCUAAUCCCAAUAAUUAUUAUUCCCAAAAAUAAUAAUAUUAAUCCAAACUUCCAAUUAUUCAAUUAAAUUAAUAAAUAAAAUAUUAAUUUAAAUUAAAUAAUUAGCUUAUUUUAGUUGGGGUGUUACACAAACUACCUACCAAAACCCAGGAAUUAGGGUUUCAUGCUUCAUUCUAUAAUCAAGAAAUCCAAGACGAAAGAUAAUGAAGUCCCGUAGCUUGAUCCACAAAUACAAAUAUAUCAUGGAAAAAUCUUGGCUUAGGACUCAACCUUCAUUUAAUGCUUUGUAUGAUAGAUAUCAAGACCUUUGAAUCUAUGAUUUUGUUUCUUAAUGAAAAUGGAAGAUAUGAAUGUACUAUGAUGCUAAUGAAUAUGCAAAUGAAUCACAAAUCAAAAGUCAGAUUAAAAUGAAGAUGGAAGGGCAAAUUUUGGAGUAUGACACUAAUCAACUACGAGAUAGAACAUUCAUGGUCGAAAGUUGGAGCGUUAUAGAAGAUGAUUUGAGCAACGGUGUCCAUAACUCCAUGAAUUCAAGUGACUGGAUAUCAAAAACUAUUUCUUCUGAUCCUAAGGGUAGAGGAGAGGAUUGCAACAAUAACCAAAAAAUGAGCUUAGUGGAUCCCUUAAGAGUCAAGCUUUUAUGUUUGAAAAAAGGAGGAUUGUUGGAUUGCAAUAGGCCAAGACAAGGAAUGUCGCAAAAGUUAUUGAAGAAAAGAUCAUGUCAAAUGUAUUUGUUGCAAUGUAGGAACACAUGAAUACAUAUGAGCAUUAACUUCUUAUUGAAGAGAAAAUCCUAAAGCAUAAAUCAAAGGUUUGUUGGGUGAAUGUUGGUGAUGAAAACAAUAAGUAUUUUCAUGUUGGCUUACGUAAUAAGGGUGGCCAAUAAGAAGCCGACCAUGUGAGAUUAUGAAUUCCAAAAUCAGACCAUGUUUACAUAUAAAAAACUAGAGUUAUUACAAUGUCGAUCAAAGUGUUAGGGAUUUUAAGACAAAUAUCCGGUUUUACCCCUAAUCUUGCUCAGUUAAUCUCGCAAUGAAAUGUCAGACUUCGAUGGUUUGAAAACUUUUCUUUUAUGUCAAUAAGCUGACCUUUAUUAAGUGAAUAGAAUGAACAAAAUAUUACUAUGGUAACAUUAUCUAGAUUUGUAUUUAAUGGCUCUGAUACUAGUACAUGAAGUUUUAGUGUCAUAGAGGGAAUAAUAAGGUAGGAAGAAAUGAAAAAUAUCCUAAGCUUCUUAGCGAUUACUAUUUGUAUAAAAAGACAUGUCCACAUGACCAACUUACUUGCUCGCAUUUUCUUCUUACAGGUCACACCUGGGUUGAGGUAAACAAAGUAGUACAACAAUGCUGACAUGCCGAGGAAAGUAGACUAUGGUAGCAAUCGCCUCAUGAUGGCAAAAUAGCAAAACAUCUAAACGAAUAAUGUCAAACAAUUGAUAGAAGUCACCUCGUGGUGCGAAGACAUCAUCAACAGUCAUUUGAAACGAUGUCAUUACCAAACCAAGUUCAAAAGUAUCUCCUUUUUAUUUUUUCAUUGAAUGCAUUCAGUGGCAUAUACAACAUUUCUUAUAUUCACCAUUGCAACAAUAUGGUUCUUAGGCUCUGGCUUCUAUUUAUUACUUCUAAUUGUUUGUUACUUCUGUUGGAAAAUCGAGCCUUAUGGUUAUUCUCCAACAUACUACAUUUUCCCUUACUCUUCUUAUACUGUUCAUAAUUACAACAUGAUUGGAUGUGCAAUUUUAUAUUUUUUUCCAGGAAAGUUUUCAUCGCAGAACGACAUCGAAGUUGCAGUUUAUGGUAUAUCAAGUUGGUUUUACUAUGGAUAAAAUAAGGAAUGUUUCUGACUUCCUUACUAAAUCUAAGAAAGUGGGAAUUUGUUGAAUUGUAAUUCCUUGUUUCGAAGUAGAUUUCUCAACAGAAGCAAGAAAGUUUCAAAUCACCUAGUUUGUCGAGUUGUAUUAGUGUGUCGAAGUGUCGAAGCAUGUUGAUACACACAGGAUUUUGCCUUAGGCCUAUUUUUGUAGUGUUAACUAUUUUGGGCUUUUAUAGUUUUGGGCUUUGGCUUAGAGAGUAAGUUAAUCUAAAUCAAUAAAUAAAGGGAGUAACCCAUAUUCUUGUAAGAGAGAACUCAGAAUAUUAUAUUCGCCGAAUUUUGCGGUUCCAAAGUGAAUAAAGAAGUUUUCCACAAUUUGUGGACAAAGAGAAAACUCUGUAGACAAUAUUAUUCUUCCUCUCUAAUGUUUUUUUUUCUUUCUUUCUCAAUUGUUCUUUUCUUUUCAUUGUCAUUGUGUGGGUGAUAGUAAUCUUGUUCAUCAAGAUUGAUAGAAAUUCUCCAUAGGUUGUAGUGGAUUUCCAACAUCUGGUAUCUAGAGCUCCAGUUUAAGCGAUUCGUGGGAAGAAAAUCACGAUGGCAAUGAAUCAUCCAAAUUGGAAUUUUCCAGCGAACCUUCUGAUUCUCAAGAACAAUAAUAUUGAGAAUUGGUGCAAGCAAAUAAAUGUCGUGUUUUGUUAUCAAGAUCUUUGGGAUCUUGUGAAGGAAGGAGUAACAACGCUUAUAGAAAACGAGACAGAUCAAAAAAAGGUUGCACAUAAAGAAUUGAAGAAGAAAGAUUAUAAAUCUCUCUUUAUAAUCUAUCAAUAUGUUGAUCCAGAUACCAUUGAAAAGGUUGGUGAUGUAGAGUCUGAUAAAGAAGCAUGGGAAAUUCUGGAGAAGUCGUUUGGAGGCGUGGAGAAGGUGAAAGAGGUGAGGUUACAAACUCAUAAAAGGACGUAUGAAUUGCUUCAUAUGGAAGACAAUGAAAGCUUAACUGAUUUCUUCACUAAGGUUACGAAACUGGUGAAUCAAAUCAAGGUAUAUGGAGAAGUAUUGACAUCAAAAUCCAUUGUUAGAAAGAUCUUGAGGUCGUUGGCUCAAAAGUUCGACCAUGUGGUAGUAGCCAUAGAAGAGUCGAAAGAUUGUCAAAACUGACAAAGGAAGAGCUUCAAGGGACGCUUAAAUCACAUGAAUAAAGAAUGGUUGAAAGAGCUGCAGGAAAGUCGAAGAGUGAUAUGGCUUUGCAGGUGCAAUCAACAAAAGAAAUGAAAGGCAAAGGAAGAUGAAAUUAGUGGCAUACUUGUUAAAUUAUCCAAGUUGGAGCCCUUCUCAUGGAAGAUGUAUUUUAUUAAGGAUUCAUACUUGUGAGUGAAUGGUUGAGUGUUAUCCAAAUAUUGACUUAAUCAAUUAAAAAUCACCACUAAUAUUUGACUAACUUUUGACUAACCAUUGACUAACUCUUAUUCAUUAUGCUUUUACUUUCAAGUCAUUUACUUUAUGCAAUUUAAUUUCAGUCAUUUAUCAUCCAUUGCCAUUUACAUUCCAUAUAACUUAUUUAUGUUUCAAGUCAUUUUCACUUUGCUCAUUUGAGUCAUAUCUUGUGAUUGUAUAUAUUGUUUGCUUGAUUUUGGUUUUGUUUAUGAUCUUAGGACCUUAAAACACAUAAUAACAACAAAAACCCUAAAAAAACAUUUGGUGGACUGUUGGAUUUGAUCUGAACUUUUGGACUUAGAGUUAGGCAACAUUCCCUAUGCUAAAAGGACUUGGCCAAUGCCAACAUUUGAGACUGAGUUAUCUGUAAUUGUGCCUUCAUCUGAUGCAAGACUUGAGGAUUCAUUAGGUUCAUCUACUACUCUGUCUUUGUGCUUAAUUGUUAUUUUGAUCUUGUGUCUGAUGUUUUGUUCUAAGUUGAUCAAGGAAUAUUUCAUCUGAUACAUUGGAAGACAAUGAAGACUGCUAGAUAUUGGAGUGCUUGCUUAGAUGUGGCCAUCUUUAUUUGAUGCCUUGAUCUUCAUGAUGUCUGGAUAUUUCUCAUUGCUUAUUGAUUAUUGCUUGAUUAAAGUCCAAAGGAAAAUGGGUUUCUAAAUGACAUUAUUGAAAUUCUGGUGUAGUCAGAGUUCAGAUGUUCUACUCCAAGUAAUGACAUCUGAUCCAACAUUGUUACUAAUACAACAAGACAAUUAUACAAAUUAAAACCCAGUACUGAUAUGCACACAUUCACAGAUGUCACGACAUCUGCUACUAUAUCACCAUAGAAUGGAAGAACACCCAGUUCUGUCCAUCUGGUACAAAGACACAGCAGAGAUCAACAUUGGAUGUUAUGACAUCCAAUUAUGCGCAGACAAGAAUGAUGCAAAACUUAAAUUUAAAGUGCAGUAAAUAACACAAGGAAUUGGUGAAGUAAUUUCAAUCUAAACUAAGACCAGAGUUCCUACUCACUCCCCCUCAAUCACCUCAGUGAUUACAGCCUUUAAUUAAGUUUACAGACAAUGGUGAAGUAAUACUUCAAACAACUCUUGAUUGUGCUUAACAGCUUUAAUCAAGAUACACAGCACUCACGCUUAAAAGCUUAGAGUGACACAACACUUACAGCUCAAUGAACACCCUAGUCCAAUGCAAUCAUCUAGGUGAUAAUUGCUUGGCUCACAAGAUACACCUAAUACAAGACACACAUAAAAUACAGCAGUGAAGUAUGAGGGUACAAUGAAAGCUUCACGCCUAAAAUCCCUGAGUUCUGAAAGAAGGAUUGCCAUCCUUUUAUAUUGCAACACUUGGGCCUUGUACUUGUAUUUCCUAAAAUUAAGGUUAAGCAAGUUAACCUAAUUUCCACAUAUUAGGGUGCUAAAAAAUAGGCUAUUUGUUAGGUUCAUUAAUUGUAGCUCAGUUGUUAGUUUCUUGGAUUUUAGCUCAGCUGUUGGAUUCCUAAAGAAUAGCCUGAGAAAAAUACUGAAACAGAAAAACUAACCAUCCUACACCUUAGCAUAUGCUGUCAGGAAUGAAUGUCACAACAUUCAGUUUGACGUCCAGAACAUAGACCAUAUGCUAAGUCUGUUAUUUUCCUGAAAACAGACUGUACUAAAUGUUGUACUGUAAAAGACCAACCAGUCUAUACUUCAGUAUCAACUNNNNNNNNNNNNNNNNNNNNNNNNNNNNNNNNNNNNNNNNNNNNNNNNNNNNNNNNNNNNNNNNNNNNNNNNNNNNNNNNNNNNNNNNNNNNNNNNNNNNNNNNNNNNNNNNNNNNNNNNNNNNNNNNNNNNNNNNNNNNNNCACUCACGCUUAAAAGCUUAGAGUGACACAACACUUACAACUCAAUGAACACCCUAGUCCAAUGCAAUCAUCUAGGUGAUAAUUGCUUGGCUCACAAGAUACACCUAAUACAAGACACACAUAAAAUACAGCAGUGAAGUAUGAGGGUACAAUGAAAGCUUCACGCCUAAAAUCCCUGAGUUCUGAAAGAAGGAUUGCCAUCCUUUUAUAUUGCAGCACUUGGGCCUUGUACUUGUAUUUCCUAAAAUUAAGGUUAAGCAAGUUAACCUAAUUUCCACAUAUUAGGGUGCUAAAAAAUAGGCUAUUUGUUAGGUUCAUUAAUUGUAGCUCAGUUGUUAGUUUCUUGGAUUUUAGCUCAGCUGUUGGAUUCCUAAAGAAUAGCCUGAGAAAAAUACUGAAACAGAAAAACUAACCAUCCUACACCUUAGCAUAUGCUGUCAGGAAUGAAUGUCACAACAUUCAGUUUGACGUCCAGAACAUAGACCAUAUGCUAAGUCUGUUAUUUUCCUGAAAACAGACUGUACUAAAUGUUGUACUGUAAAAGACCAACCAGUCUAUACUUCAGUAUCAACUUACAGUAAUAAAUGUCAUAACAUCCAGUUUGACAUUUUGACAAUGAGCCUUAUGCCAGGUCUGUUAUCCUCCUGAAGAACAGACUGAAAUAAAUACUGAACUGAAGCAGAAAAACCAACCUACCUAUUAUUCAGUAUAUGUUGUCACUGAUGAAUGUCAUAACAUCCAGUUUGACAUUCAGACAGUAGGCCUUAUGCUAGGUCUGUUAUCCCCUUGAUAAACAGACUGAAUUAAAUACUGAGUUAUAACAGACAACCAACUAUUCUAUUCCUUAGUAUAUGCUGUCAGGGAUGAAUGUCAUAACAUCUAGUUUGACAUUCAGUAAAUCCUGUAUUGAAUGACUGUCAUAACAGAACAGAAAAUCAGCCUGCUGUUAGUUUCCUGAAAAUCAGCCUGAGAUAAAUAACAGAAAAACUAACUGGCCUGUCAGGAAUGAGUGUCAUAACAUUCAGUUUGACAUUCAGAGAAUGCUGUCAUGAAUGACUGUCAUAACAGAACAGAAAAUCAGCCUGAACUAAAUACUGAACUAUAACAGAAAAACUGACUAGUUUAUAAUUCAGUAUUUGCUGUCAGGGAUGAAUUUCAUAACAUCCAGUUUGACAUUCAGUAAAUCCUGUAUUAGCUAAUCCUGCAGCAUACUACUUAAGCAUGUCAUGACAUCAGUCAAGACAUCUAAGUACAGUAAGUGUUUUAACACAAAAUGCAGCCAAUCAAAAACAUCUACAAACUCCCCCUUUGGCAAAUUUUUGGCUAAAACAACUUGGCAUCACAACAGAGUUCAUAGCAGCGAAAAACACACAUCCAAUCAGAGAAUCAAGUUAGCUAAUACACUAAUCACACACAGAAGAUAAACUUCACACAACAGCAGCACAUAGAAGAUAGCAAACAGCAGCAUAACCUCUUGUUUUAGAGGACCUUCAUCUUCACAGAAAUCUGUUGUCAUGGGGUACAUGUGUUACUCCCCCUUUUUGUCAAAAAUGUUGCCAAAGCAACUUAAUAUUACAGACCAAAACAGACAAAAUUACAAGUAAAUUUCAGAAACACACACUUGAUUUUACUUCACAGUUUCAAUCAAGAAUACACACUCUUGAUCUUGCUUUACAACUUUGAUCAAGACUACACCCACUUGAUCUUGCUUCACAACUUUGAUCAAGUAGACCCACACUCUUGCUUCACAGCUUUAGAGUGACGAGUUUCAGCCACAAAUCAGAUCUUCAAUCAAACACAGAUUGCCAUUAAGUGUGCAAUCACAAAACACCAAACAUUCAUACUGAAUGUUCUGUGUAUAGGGUGUCAUGACAUCGGGUCUGACAUUCUGGAAAAUUCCUGCAUAAUUCCAUAAUUCCUUUUAUAACUUCCAGCAGGUACAAUCAUAUCAGAUGCCAUGACUUUGUGUAUGACUUCUUGAAACACUUCUGCAUGAACAUGUUCUUGAACUCCAGUAGGUACAUAGGAUAUCUUAUGUUAAGACAUCACACAUAACAUCUUGUGAACGCUCUUUGUUUUACCAAAAUUGCUCCCCCUUUGGCAAAUUUUGGCUAACACAUAUAUCUUUCCUUUUUGUUCACAAGGUAAACUAUCAGCAGUUAAACAACAUAACAGUAGUUUAAACAGCAGUAGAAGCAACACAAUUACUAGCUUUAUAGUUACUAGUAAUACACACAUGCACAAGGGUACUUCUCCUCCCCCUAAAUCUGUGCAACAAAAACAGAAUUACUAGUUAAGGAUGCAACUAGUAAGACGCACAAACACACAGGCUCAUUCUAAUAUAUCAUAAUGAGACACACCACAUCCAUAUUUCCUUAAGACUGUAAGUUUCAGAAGGAAAUAACAAUAUUGUCCAAGGCAAUGUCAUGGCAUCCGGUCAGACAUUCUUCUGCUCACUCAGCCUUGACACACACCACAUCAUCUCAAUAACUAACAAGGUGCCAUACCUUGUUAUCUGAGAACACAUAGACCACAAGCUUGAUGAUUACUUGCAGCACAAAGACAAAACUCCCCCUAUCAUGAACAACCAACUCUCCUCUUGAAACUUGGAGAUCACACAUGAACAUAUCCAACACCCCAAAGUUGGACCUUCACAUACUUCCUGAUUCAAAGAGAACCCAGACCACUUGAUGAAUGGAAAACAUAAGACGCAUCUUCAUGUCUUCAAGAGCACACCCUCUGUUCAACCCUCUUGGCUGAACACAUCCACACUCUGUGUCAAUCUCUCUUCUAACCAGAACAGAAAACCACUUCACAAAAUGUUCUAACAUUAGUUAGGACAUCCUUCACAACAUAACAAAGAACACCAUCUGAUAAUCUUCAGAUAUCACUGAGUCACCAGCUUGAUCCAAAAGAAACCAGACACAAAUUGGGACAUAUACAUUCUCAUCCCAUUACAAGAGAUAAUCUUCCAUAGAUAGCUCAGAACUCCUACCACAAGCUCCAAGAGAUGAAUAGAAAACACCUCCUUUUGUCUUCAACUUACUACUUUUCUGCUCAAAAGUAAUUUGUCUCAGACUUUCCUCAAGAAUAAUCAGCUGCCAUAUGUUGAUUAUCUUGAUUCUUCGAACUCACUUCUGAGAUAGACCAAAUGCCACUGGUUGAUUACCUCCUUCAUGAAUCCUCAUAUGAAAAAGUCAAAUGCCACUUUUUGACCUCUCCAAGUUUAUCAGACUUCUCCCAAAGAUAUUCUGACCUUCCAAGUGAGACUUGAACUUCAAGCUACAUGUUAAACAAAACUUAGAUUCUCUAAGACAUGAACAUGUAACAUCUUCUCCAUCCAGCAACUCCAAAGAACUGCAAUGAGAACGAUCUUUUUGAAGUACCCAAUCUACAACUCUGUAGACCCUUCUAUCUUAAGUUGAUGUGCCACUUCACCAACUAAGAUUCUGAUGUUGAACCAAAUGUCACAACAUUGUGUUUUAACAUCUAGCUGUUGAAUUCAGCUCCUUCUUCUGCCACUUGAAAGAACUUCCUCCCUACACAGAACAAGAGUUCAAUGCUCUCAUAGACUUGAUUGUGGAACCAAGUUUGAGUAAACAACCUCCAUCCUGCAGGUUUGCAGUUAAGUCAUCCAAGCUCACACCUUGAUGAAUCCCUGCUUCUUCUCCAAAGACAUCAGACACUCUGAUGCAUGAGUCUUCAGAAGGACCAGUUAGAGACUAACCCUUCAGCUAUACCAAGGAUUCCACUUCCUAAAGCAAGGUUGUUUCCAUGAUGUCAAGAAUGCUGCCACUUGUUCUUAACUCCACAGUGUGCAUUAGCCAAUGCACUUCCUUACCUAGAUCAGAAAUAAACUGAUCCAAGUAACCACCAUCAAGACUAUGAUGUCUUCUUCUUCUUGUACACACCAAGGCUGAACAUGUUUCUUGCCAGGAAACCUUUUCAGAGAUCAUAUGCUUUUGCUGCCACCAAAGAGAUAGAUCAUAAACCAAUGUACUAUCCUUCCUGUGAUUCUGCACAGGGUCUUGAAGAAGAGAUGUUCCAACAUCUUUAAGAACAUCAGUUAUCUUGAGCUCCAAGGAUAAUCAAUUAAAUACUUGUACUUGGCACAAGUAGACAUUGAUCUUAAAUCCUUUCCCAAUUAUCCUUUCAGAUACUUCCACCAUAAGAAUACUUUGAAAGUACUCUUCUUGUGUCAACAUCUUCUGCUUGCAAGCACCUCAACAAUUUUGAAAGUCUUCCCAGAUUAAAUUCACCCUUAGGAAUGAGAGAGAUGAAUUCUUCCUUGCAAAUGUGUCACACAACCACCAGAACCCAUGUGACACAGGUCAACAGCCAACCAGACCCUAGGCUGACCAGACUUGAGGAGGUUAACCAAAACUCCCCCUCAACUUAACAAUCAUGGAUACUCCACACCAAUAUCCAUGCAUUGUACACAUAUGUCUCAACAUGACAUACACUAUCCCUACCAGUGGCAACUAACUCCUCCAAUCAGACUCCAGCUGACCAUAAGUACUAGUGAGACACACAAUACCAGUCGAUAGUAGUUAUGCAUUGCCAGGGCAUACUACUUCAACCAACCUCUGAAUCUUCAUAUUCUUACUCCUUGACAGAACUGCCACUUCUGCACGUGGUGUUUGAAUAACAUGAUUCAUGGUUCCAAUCCUCAUAGAUGAUACAGCACUCAGGUUACCCCAUUAUUGACUGCUAACAUCCAGGGGACUUGUCUUCCAACACAGCAUAGUACUUCAGGGAACACCUAUCCAACCCUGCUCAAUCUACAGGAAUAUGCCAAACAGCAGGAGAUUGCACACUGCCACAUCUCAACCAGCUCAACUUUUAGAGAUCAGACUUCUAAAGGUGACCUUCUUGAGCACACAUACAGUUGACCCUUCCCUUGUCAACUUAGCACACACAGAUGUCUCCUCUUCCAGGUCAGGAGUAGGUUCCAAACAGAAGUAUCCCUUUGUUUGAAACCUAAAAACAUCUGCUCUUCAACCAGUAGCUGCAUACUUGUUGAACAACAUGUUCUAACAUCGCAUAGAACAUUAGUUCCACCUCCUUGGAACAAACCUUCCUUGAAGGUCUUCAAGGUCUUCAUACACCCUACUCAAGUGAGUAAAAGAAUCAGUGAUUAAGUGAUUCUUACCAUCCUGAAGUGAGAACGUCAUGAUGAGUGGACUUGAGGAGACUCAAGUAUCUUUGACAUCUUCAGUAGAUUAUGAUGAAAUCUUGAAUACAGCAGCCUUUCAUCCACAUGAGGGGAAACUACAUCAGAGUUUGAGUUUUGCCAGGUAUUAUGCAGCGGAAAUCAUAAUACAACUCAACCUAUGAACACACACUUCACCAGAUCAGCCUCCAAGAACAUACCAAGUUUGAAUAUGAUUCAAUACUAGCACAACUGUCCCACACAAAGGCCAAUUGCCAACCUCCAGAGACAGGUACACACAUUUCCUGUCAUGAAUAGUCCAUCCACCUACUUCAAGGGACCAUUCAGGUAAAUCACAGAACCUUCCACAGGUUCCAACAUCAGUACUAACAUAACUCCUUGCAAGAUACCAAAAAGUAUCACCCAUGGAUCUCAUCCAAAAACAGAACAGGAUGCCUACUCUGAUACCAAUUGAAAUUCUGGUGUAGUCAGAGUUCAGAUGUUCUACUCUAAGUAAUGACAUCUGAUCCAACAUUGUUACUAAUACAACAAGACAGUUAUACAAAUUAAAACCCAGUACUGAUAUGCACACAUUCACAAAUGUCACGACAUCUGUUACUAUAUCACCAUAGAAUGGAAGAACACCCAAUUCUGUCCAUCUGGUACAAAGACACAGCAGAGAUCAACAUUGGAUGUUAUGACAUCCAAUUCUGCGCAGACAAGAAUGGUGCAGAACUUAAAUUUAAAGUGCAGUAAAUAACACAAGGAAUUGUUUACCCAGGUCGGUGUCACACACACCUACGUCUGGGGGCUACCAAGCCAGGGAGGAAAUCCACUAUUAGCAGUAUUAAUUCAGGCCUUAAACCACCUGUUUAAUCCUAUCACUUAAUACCUACCCAAUGCAAUUUCAAUCUUACACUAAGAUCAGAGUUCCUACUCACUCCCCCUCAAUCACCUCAGUGAUUACAACCUUUAAUUAGAUUAAAGUUAAUAGUGAAGUCACACUUCAAACAACUCUUGAUUGUGCUUAACAGCUUUAAUCAAGAUACACAGCACUCACGCUUAAAAGCUUAGAGUGACACAACACUUACAACUCAAUGAACACCCUAGUCCAAUGCAAUCAUCUAGGUGAUAAUUGCUUGGCUCACAAGAUACACCUAAUACAAGACACACACAAAAAUACAGCAGUGAAGUAUGAUGGAACAAUAAAAUCUUCACGCCUAAAACCCCUGAGUUCUGAAAGAAGGAUUGCCAUCCUUUUAUAUUGCAGCACUUGGGCCUUGUACUUGUAUUUCCUAAAAUUAAGGUUAAGCAAGUUAACCUAAUUUCCACAUAUUAGGGUGCUAACAAAUAGGCUAUUUGUUAGGUUCAUUAAUUGUAGCUCAGUUGUUAGUUUCCUGGAUUUUAGCUCAGCUGUUGGAUUCCUGAAGAAUAGCCUGAGAAAAAUACUGAAACAGAAAAACUAACCAUCCUACACCUUAGCAUAUGCUGUCAGGAAUGAAUGUCACAACAUUCAGUUUGACGUCCAGAACAUAGACCAUAUGCUAAGUCUGUUAUUUUCCUGAAAACAGACUGUACUAAAUGUUGUACUGUAAAAGACCAACCAGUCUAUACUUCAGUAUCAACUUACAGUAAUAAAUGUCAUAACAUCCAGUUUGACAUUUUGACAAUGAGCCUUAUGCCAGGUCUGUUAUCCUCCUGAAGAACAGACUGAAAUAAAUACUGAACUGAAGCAGAAAAACCAACCUGCCUAUUAUUCAGUAUAUGUUGUCACUGAUGAAUUUCAUAACAUCCAGUUUGACAUUCAGACAGUAGGCCUUAUGCCAGGUCUGUUAUCCCCUUGAUAAACAGACUGAAUUAAAUACUGAGUUAUAACAGACAACCAACUAUUCUAUACCUCAAUAUCUGCUGUCAGGGAUGAAUGUCAUAACAUGUAGUUUGACAUUCAGUAAAUCCUGUAUUGAAUGACUGUCAUAACAGAACAGAAAAUCAGCCUGCUGUUAGUUUCCUGAAAAUCAGCCUGAGAUAAAUAACAGAAAAACUAACUGGCCUGUCAGGAAUGAGUGUCAUAACAUUCAGUUUGACAUUCAGAGAAUGCUGUCAUGAAUGACUGUCAUAAAAGAACAGAAAAUCAGCCUGAACUAAAUACUGAACUAUAACAGAAAAACUGACUAGUUUAUAAUUCAGUAUUUGCUGUCAGGGAUGAAUGUCAUAACAUCCAGUUUGACAUUCAGUAAAUCCUGUAUUAGCUAAUCCUGCAGCGUACUACUUAAGCAUGUCAUGACAUCAGUCAAGACAUCUAAGUACAGUAAGUGUUUUAACACAAAAUGCAGCCAAUCAAAAACAUCUACAGUUAUUUUUUGUUGGAUUGCAUCCCAUUGGUCAGAUCUUUUCAACUCUUAACUUUUAAUUUGUGCUUAGGAUAAUCUCCCCAUCUCCUCUCAUCUUCUUAAAUUUUAAAAUCUCUCCCUCUUUUCAAAAGCCUUUCUUUGCUUGUGAUUUCAAACUUAGACAUUGCUUCAUAAUUAGAAACCUUGGCCUUAUGCCAAUGAAUUUUCAAACUUUUUUCUUAAAUCAAACUUGUAAAUAAACUUAACCAUAUUGACUUAAAUUUCAAAAGACAAAAGAACUAACAACUCCAUUCAAAAUUUUAGCCCUUUUUGUGCCCUUUUCUUGUUAACCUUUUGUUAAAAUUAAUUCACCAACUCAUUUGACAUUUUUACCACGAACUACGGGGUUUUGAUCCCUCAUUUUUAUGUUGGUACGUAGGCAUAAGACCGAAGGUCUUGUCAAACUCAAAAGUAUAAUCAAUGAAUUCUUUUCUCAUCCCCACACUCUAUUUUUAUCAAACAUAUUUGAUACCCAAAAACAUAUGCACACAUAAAAAAGGGCUCCCUAUGAGUACCUAGGACACUCUGGAUGCUAACACCUUCACUCUGGCAUUUUAUUAGUUUUGAUUUGAAAACUUCUUAUCUUUGGGUUUUGUUCGUACUUUUCCAUUUUCCUUUGGAAACAAUAAAAGCGCGGCGGUGACUCUGGUUUUACUGACGUCAAGUUUAUCCAUAGCUUGAUGGUCAUGAAUUUACCAAUACAUCCACCACCAACCUUCACCAAAAUAAAAAGUGUGGACAUGAUUUUAAAGGAAAAAUGCUCAGGAGCUCGAAUCUGACCUCCAUUUCUUCAAAUUCCAAGUAUAUUGAAAGAUACAUGGAUUUGAAAUUUGAGGUUCAUGAUUUGGGUUACUUCGAUUUGACCUCAAUGCAACUCAAUUUUGUUGCCUACAUUGGUAGGACUUCAGCCAACCAAAAAUCAAAGAGAAUGGUGAUGAAUUAAGAGAGAAUUGAAGGCUCAAAGUUUCUGAAAAAUCAUCUUCGGGUAGCUUGAAUCUUGCUUGAUAUUGCUCCCAAUUGGCCUUGGCUCGACUCUAGAAGCUUGUAGGAAGUGAAAUGGAUCAAAGAGAGGCUUGGAUUCUUGGAGUUUCAAUCUCAAAACAGAAGGAGAUUUGAAACUCAAUUUCUAGUGAAAUCUUCAAGUUUAUCCUUUAAUGGAGGCUAGGGAGGCAAUGGUUCAAAGCUUGGGCAAGCAGGGGUCCUCUUUCUUAUCACAAUGGCCAUGUAUUUAUAGGGUAUCAAGUUGUUUUUCACACACUUUGAAAAUUUUCCAAAUUUAGAAACUUUGGUGCAUGGAUGCAUGGGCAUUGAUUUGGGCCCAAUUCAUAAUAUGAUUACAUUCAAAUUUGAGCACAACGAAUCCUGCAGAAUUAACAUGUAAGCUAACAAGCAAAAGGAAAUGGAUAAUUGAAUUCAAAUCUUGCCAAAACAAACCUAUCAAAGGAACCAUGCACAAGUCCCUCAAUCUUGGUCCAAAUGAGGUGAUCUUGGACUUUUUGGAAAGGUGGCAUUAAGGGGAACAACUUUGAUGUUGAAAACGUUUCCAUUUAGAGCUUGGAUCAUGAUGAAUUUUGAGGUGAAAUUUUGAGAAAUCAAACAUAUUUGAAAUUUUUCUAAGUACCAAGUCAAAUGACCACUUCUUCCACCUUGAAUAACUUUUUCUAUGAGCUUCAAAUGGAAAAAGUUCCUUCAUAAAAGUUGUAUCUCUUUCAUCCCUAUUCAAGUUAGUCAUAAAUUUGACAUCAUUUGGAUUUGGCAUGAGGGAGUUAUGCAUUUUAGAAGUUGAGGAAAAUUGCUUGUUCAAUGAUGAUGGCCCAAAAUGACCUAUAAUGUUUCCUCUUGGCACAUGCCCUUGCAAGUUGAAUUUGAAAUUUCUCAAAGAAUAAAAGUUGGAGAGGACAUCUUGAAAUUGAUCAUUAAACUUAUAUGGACUUUAUCUCAUACAAAUUGAGCAGGUUAUGGUCCUUGGAAGUUGACCUCCUAACUAGGGUACAGACAAAAUGACCUAUAAUCUUUCACCAUAAAACAUGCAUUUCCAAGCAAAACUAGAUCUUUAUAUCAACAUGAAAGUUGUUUGGAAUGUCAUAAAAAGUAACUUUGCUCUUGGAAUAAUUUUUAUAUGACAAACAUUGUAGGCGAUAGGGUCUAGGGAAUCUCGGUUUUGACUAGUUGACUUUCUCUGGUCAACUUCUUUGAACCAACUUGCAAACUUGAAGUUCUCUUGAUCUUUGGGACUCAUGGAGGAUAAUAUAUGUAUAAGAUUAUGUAACAUUAAGUAUCCCUUGAAAUAUUUGAUCAAUUAUUGAAGAAACUUGCUGAGGAAGUCACAUAAGAUACCUAGAUGAAUUAGGACUUCCAAGGCAAACAAGAUUCAAACUCUUGAUGAAUUCUUGAUUAAAAUGAUAAAUGAAGAUCAUGGGGAUCCAUGAUGUUUAAAACCAAUGUGAACCAUUUCUUUAUUGAUCUCUAGUCAUGAGGGUCUCAAACCCUAGAUGUGAGCUUGAUGAGGCAUAGCGCACACUACCUACAAAAGAAACACAGCUAUAUAUAAACAUAUUUUUGGUAUUUUAGUUAGUAAACAAAAGAAAAUAAAGUAUGAUACAAUCAAAUAUGCUUGGUGAUCUCUCCUAAUGUAAACCCAAUGAAUGAGGGGUAAGGUGGAUACCAAGGUGUGAUCUCAAAGCCAAUGCAAAUGAUGAGAUAACAUGAGGGAUCUUAGGGUCAAAAUUAGGGUCUUACACUUAUCACCACCGUGUUUGUGGACCAUUGGGACAGGGGGUUGAUCCCCCCAUGACCCCAAGGUCAGGGGUUCAACCCCCAACAUGUGCAAACCCUCAUUUAUUUUUCACUUAUGUUAUUUUUAUCCAUUUAUUUUUUAAUUAUCUUCCAUAUUGCUUUAUUUUGUAACCCUUUCAUUUUUAUUAUUUUGAAAAUAUUUUUAACAUAAACUCCUAUUAUUUUUGUCUCUAUAGUUUAUUAGUGACUUGUUUUAUUUCAUUUGAGUUAUUUUUUAUGGACUUAUGAAGUCUUGAACUUAUGGACUAAUGAAAUCUACUUAGGUCAUGACUUGUUUGGUUUAGGGUUGAUUAAAACCUUCCAUACUUCAAACCUAACAUUAGAUGAUCAAGUGUUCAUCCAUGGUACUUUGAAUCAUGGAUAUGUUGCCCCUACUUAAAAUAACUUGGGUCAUUUGACUUGUGGAUGAAGUCUUGCUUGCACUUGUUAACUUAUCGAUUCAUCUGAUACAUUUAUGUUUCCUUUUGGUUUAUAAUAACCCACCAACCCUUUACUAACUUGUUUAUAUCAUACACUAACCCUUUAUUAUCUUGUUUAUAUUAUGCCUUGUCCAUAUAACUUAACCUAACUUUACUAACCUUUGAUUAUUACUAACCUUUUGUUAUCAUUAUCGUUGUUAUUAUUCAUUGUUAUUUACUUUUAUAUCAUCUACAUUUAAGUCAUCUUCAUCAUCAUAUUCAUUAUAUAAACUUUAUCAUGCAUGUUUAUUAUCUUGUCUUUACCUUAUUGUCAUCAUACACUUAAAAACAACAAAAAAAUGAUAAAAUUAUAAGACCAAAAACAAUCCAUUGCACCUUAAUCCACUUGGACUUAGAGGAUCUUUGCUUGGAUGCCUUUUCCAUUACUUCUUGUGAUACUUUAUUUCAAACUUUGGGUUUCAUUUGUACUUACAUACAUGUUGUAAGAAUGGCAUCAUGGAACCAUAUUAGGGGGACAUGUUUAUAAGAUCAUUAUCCUUUGUUUAGCUUAGGUCUCUUUUGCACACACAAGGCUUUCUCUUAGGCUAUCUUACAAUGAGACCUUUUACUUUCUUGUUGGUUACUUUGCAUUCAUGUUCCAUAAGCCAAAUUUCUCAAUCAAAUAAACAAACCCUUGAUUCAACGUCAAACAAUUUUUUCUUAAAUAAAUUCAAAACUCUUAAUAACUAUGAUUAGCAUUGUAUGCCACGAGCCUUAAGUGGUGGAGAAUGGAACAUUCCUACCCUCACUUUGAUUAUUUUGGAUGCAUGACACUUGACUUGUUGUCUAGAAUAUUCACCUCCGUCCCUAGACUUUAGUGCAAUCUAAUCACAAACAUUCUUUUUAUAAACCCUUGUUUAAGGUAAAAUUAACACAACCCAUAAAACCUAAUUUUUAUGACUUAUGGAACCCACCCCGAAAACCCUUUUCUCAAAGGUAAAAUCAAUUCACGCACAAACAUUUUCUACUCCGAACUACGGUGCUCUGAUUCCUCAUCCCUAAUGAGUGAUACGUAGGCACAAGGGCCACAAUCCUUGGCAAACACAUUAAUAAAAAACCUAAAACUCCUCUCUUUCACACACAUUCUCUUGAAAAUAAAACAAUAAUGAGACAAAUCUUCAUGUACAUAAACAACCCAAAUGGUUCUCAUGGAAUGCCAUGGACGUGAGGGGUGUUAAUACCUUCCCCUUGCAUAAUUGACUCAUGAACCCAAAUCUCGAUUGUGAGACCGAUUACUUAUCACAUUCUAGAACUUCCUAUGCACGUAUCUUUUCAAUGGGUUUUAUCGACUAUUUCCCCUCGCCUUUCCGAUAGAGGCACACAAAUAAAAUUCGAUGGCGACUCUUCUGUUUUGACUUCUCUCUUCGAUUGAGGAGGCAUCCAUUAGUUCAAAGUCCCGAUUUUCAUUAUCGUGUGAAAUCCCGGUAGCGACAUGCAUAUGACAUGUUACAAUGGCUCUGCAGACUUCUUUUGUACUAUUCCCUUUCUUUUGUGUAGGAUUUUUUGAAUUGAGUCUUAUCGAGGAUGACUUAUUUUCCCGAGCUGACCUCCCACGUCUUUAACAUAUGAAAAUAACCGACUUCUCUGAAAUAAUAUUUCAAUGUCUUUCUUCAGUUGGUGACAAUUUUUUGUAUGGCGUCCUCAAAGUUUGUGGUAUGCAUACCAUUCACUUUCGUCUUUUCCCAUCAGAGUGCGCGCCCCUUUUGGGACCACCGACCUGGGGAGCAAUUUGAGGUGAUAGACCUCCUUUAAAAUGUCUCCGCGCAUAGCAUUCAGUGGAGUGUAAUCUUGCUCUUUAUUGAAUGGUCGUCGGGAUGGUCUUGCUAUUGGUCAAUCUUUGGGUCCUGGCUUAAAGUCUUUCUCUUUUUCAUCUCGAGAUCUUUUAUCCAUAUUACUUUCUUAUGAUAACCUCAUCCAUGUUAGACGCCGGUUUUUAUGCUAAAGAUUUAUUAAACUGUUCGGCCUUAAGGUCACGCUAAAAUGCUCUGACGAACAUUUCUUGAUUCAUAUGAGAUAUCUUAAUUGUUUCUUCAUUGAAUCUUGUCAUAUACUCUCGGAGAGACUCUGCGUGCCCAUGUCGGACACUAAAUAAACUAGAGGUCGACAUCCCUCUAUGCUUACUUGUCGAAAAGUGUUGUACCAUCUUUUUGGUCAAGUCUUGGUAGCUGAUGAUCGAGAACUGGGGUAAACUCAUAUACCACCUUAAAUCACCUUCCAGAAAGUUCCUGACCAUGAGCUUACAUUUGAGUGAAUCAAAAGCUCCUAUUAUAACCAUCUGAUUAUUAAUGGCAGUAAUGUGUUGUUGUGGAUCAGUCUUACCAUUGAAAGACACUAAUGAUGGUGACUUGAAAUUCUCCGGGACCUGAUCAUCCCAGAUAACUUCAGAUAAAGGUUGAGGGUCUAGAGGCUCCUCCUUUGUAUCUCCAUCUUGAAGACUUUGUGUUUGCAAGACUUGGACGCUGUCUUGCAAGGCUCCGUUUUGCUGACAAAGUGCUUCUACCACUACGAGCAAUUGAGUUAUAUCUGGCCGUGGAGGUGGGACACUUCGAUUGGGAGAUGAUCCUGACAUCGUUCGGCUGAAGUAUUAACGCUUUGAUGAUGGUUUUGUGUGGCCUGGACAAGUUUUACCAAGGCCCCACGGUGGGCGCCAAAUGUUCUUGCUAAAAAACACUAAAAGACUGACUUCCUUGUUAUAGUUCAAGGAUAGCCUAAAAUGAAUGGUUGAAGUGUUCGUUAUGUGAGAUUUUGUUUUGUUUUCUGUCUGCCUUCUACCCUCAAAAUAUCCUUUUAUUUAUCAGUCUCCUUCUUCCCAUGUCUGAUUCUCCAUAUCCUUGAUAAAUUCUCCUUAUAAUUUCUUUUUAAUGGUCGCCUCUUCAAUAAUUAUAACUCCCUUCUAUAAUGUAUCAUAUUGUAACUGUCUCUUGUGACCCUUCAAAUGACAUACGGGCCUUGUCAUCGGGCCCGACUUGUACUGAUGAGAUCAUUCUCGAUUUAUAAGGUUAUCACGUCAAUCCGGCCUUAAAUAACUCAAAUGCUCAAGUAGGCUUUGUCGACCUCCUAUCUCGGUUGGUCAACUAAUUUUUCGGGAUGUAUAAAUAUAAUAAAUUCAAUUGUAUAUAUCACCUCGUUUAAAAUCUACAAUUGUGGUGAAAUGUGAUGUGCCAUUUUAAAAUGUCAAAAAGCCAUCGUUGGAUAUUGAACUCAUAACCAUUCCACUUUUCACUACGGUCGGAGAAACCAACCGUAGUGAAAUGUGACGCGAUAUCGUAUUUUUCACAACAACCCCUAACCCUUGGUGGAAAGUAUAUGCACUUAUUAUCAUACUAUUCAUUAUCACGAACCUUCAAUCAUAAUAAUUUUUUCUCCCGACCAUGAUAAUAGAUAGUUUUCGUAAUAGUGAUCAUACACAUAGUCCAUGUCUACCUUGGGGCCAAACCUAGAAAUUUGCAUCUAUACACUAAAAAUCUUGUAAUACUUAUUACAAGUCAUGUUGGGGCCAAAACUAUAAGUUUACAGCUACAAACUAUAAAUCUCUUAAGGGUAAUGCUAACUUGUGCCCUUGGGGCACAUGUUAAGAAACCCACAAAUAGAAAAUUUGUUUUGGAAAAAUAAAUAAAAUUAUUAAUGAUAAAUUUUUAAUAAAUUCAAUACACAUUUUCCAAGAAUUUAUUUCUAUAUUUAUCUCUUAACUUGUGCCCUUAGGACACAAGUUAGCAUUACCCAUCUCUUAAUACUUACAAACCACUUCAGUAGACCAAUGAAGUCAUAAAGAUAGAGAUUUAAAGAGGUGAUUUGAAGAGACACAUAUAACAAGCUCACUUUAGUUCUAAAACUAAUGCUAAUAGCAUUUUGAGUACAAAGUAAUUGUGAUCAUUUUAGGAAACAACAAUAGUGGAUGGAUGCACAAUACCAAUUGAAACAUGAAUAAAAUAAAAGACAUCAGUUGUCUUGCACUGCAUAAUUAGCUCCAUCGCACUCCCAUGCACACACUCACCAGAACAACAACAAUCAUAUCAACAAUACCUGCAAAUAAAUAUUAAACUUCUUGCAUAGUUUAAUAUGGAAGACAGUUUAUCUCGGUAUAACCGAAUGUUUUAAAUUGUUGCAUAAAUUUUUUUGUAAUUUGGAUCGAUAUAAAUAUUGUGAUAUUAAUUACAAUCAUAAUUAUUUUUUACUGUCAUUUUUGACAAUCACACAUAUUCCUUUAUUCACAAUUUACUAUAGUUAUAAUUAUUAUAUUAGAGCCAAACAUCUCACUCAAAUCUUAAGAUUCAUGUUCUUUCAUAAAACUUAACCGGCAAACCAUCUAUAAAUGUGGCAGAUAGACCCGGUGCAAACCGUGGCUCCGGAUUCGGUCCAACAACCCGAACAUCAAACCGUCUAACUAAAGCAGCAGCAACACACUUCAUCUCUACAAUAGCCAAUUCCUUUCCCAAACAAAUCCUCACACCAGCUUGAAAAACUGGAUACUUAAAAGGACAUUUUGGUACAAACACACCUUCUCUCAACCAUCUCUCCGGUUUAAAUUCCAAAAAAUCGGGUCCCCAAAUGCUCUCCAUCCGACCCAUCGCAUAAGGAUGGUAAGUAACCCGACUUCCCUUUUUUAUAAAAGUUUCAUCCGGUAAUACGUCAUCCUCCAAAGCAAACUUUGAAUCGAAUUGAACCGGUGGAAAAAGCCUCAUACUCUCAUGAAUCGCUCCAUUUAGAUAAUGCAUCUCACGCGUCUGUUCAAAAGUAGCAACUUCCUGAACCGGGUUCAUUAACCGGUCUAACUCAACCCGAAUCUUUUUCUCAACUUCCGGGUUCUUAGACAAUAACAUGAAAAACCCGGUUAAUGCGGAAGCGACCGUAUCACGACCGGCCAAAAGAAAACUAACUACAAUAUCUCUUAAAUAUUCGUCUUCGUUUGAAUUCAAAAAACCCAUAAAACGUGAGAGAAGAUCUUUUCGCGAGUCACUUCCAAUUUCAAUUUCUCGUCUUUGUUUUAUCAUCUCUUUUGCCAUGUCGUUCACUACUUUAAUGGCUUCUUUGAGCUUCUUCUCUGACCCAACGUUGAAGAAACGUUUCAUCUUCCAUAUUAAGGGUGACGCGUUCGUCGCUCUUUCAGCUGAAAGCAUUGAUGCAAGAUCAAAAGCAUUAGCGAGCUUUGAAACUGGAAGUGAUGGAACAAGACAACAUGGGUCUAAACCAAAUGAGAAUUUACAAAUGUUGUCGAACGAGAAUCUUCUAAGAAUAUCUUGCAUGUCUAAAAAAUCAUCAUCUUUCUGAUCCGUUUUUGAAGCUAUGAGAGGAAUGAGCCUAGUUUGGAUUUCCUCUGUGACAAGUUCCAUAGCAUAGGAAUGAAUCGUGACGCUGCCAAGUUCAAGAGACGCCAUUUUCCGCUGAAACUUCCAUGUAUCACCGUCGACGUUGAAGAUGCCACGACCGAGAAGAUCGCCUAGAAUUGUGGAAAACGGUUUCCCUUUAGGGUAGUUAUUGAAAUUUGUUUUGAGGAUGUAUUCGACAUUUUCAGGAUUUGCUGUUAUGGUGUUACCUAAGACAUGGACAUGGAUUGUUCCUGUUGGUGAUGUUUGAAGAAGAUGUGUGUAGUAGUCGCAUACGUUUAUGAAGUUUUUUGACCAACUCAUUGUUAAGCAUGUUUUGCAAGUGUUGCAGUUACACCAUGGUUUUAUUCUUGAGAUAUAGGUGAGAAGAGAAAAGACUGAAAAUAGAAGGGUGAAAGAGGAGAAGAGGAAAGUGAAGGUAGAUUGAAGAGAAAGAGCAUCUUCAAAAUUCAUUUUGGGAAUAUGAUGAGAGUACGUAGAAUGGUCAAUAUAUAUACAAUAAGUUUUGGUUCACUAUUAUUGUUGGAGGGUUGUUAAUUAUCAACUAUUAAUAUAAUAACGAAUACAGUGCAAAACAAAAUAAAUAUCGUUUUCAUUGUGCAAUGGUUUUGAUGUUUUCUUUAUUAUUAGAAUAGAUGUACUAUGCAACGGAGAAACAAAAUUAACUGUUAUUGUUAUGUUUUUGUUAAAUAAAAAAUAAAGACUGACACCACCAGAAACUAUGUUUGUGGAACUAGACUUAGAACUAUACUUAGAACAUUUACAAUGGAGUAGUUACAAAAUUAUUAAGUAAUAGGAUGUUGUAAUAGGAUGUUGAAUAGAAUGUUGUAAAUGAGGUGGAUUAUUUGGUGUUCGAAAAGAUCUAACACAUUGAAUGAGAAGGGGAUGGGACCGCGUAAAAUAUUUGGCAAAAUUUUAUGGACGGCUUUUUUCAAAUUUUUAUCUCAUCCUAAUUAUUUAGGUUCAAUUAUUUCAUUGUAAAUAAUUUUUUUCAUCAAAAUUCAUUAUUUUUUUUGUCUAUAAAUAGAGAUUUGGUUUAUUUGAUUUGGACAUAGAAAAAAAGUCGACUUUUUUUCGUCUAAUUUUUCUAUUUAGCCUUCAAUAAACUCUUGUUUGUAGCUCUAAACAUAUUUUUAGUGAAAUGGAUCCCAACAAUAACCCUUUUAACACCCAACUACUACUUACCCUUUCAACUACCCAAAUCCCAACAAUUAGAGAUUUCAAAAUUAAUCUUCCAACCAACAAGGUCCCCAAAAUAUACCAAAUUAUGGAUUUCCUCCAAAUUUUAUCAUGUCGUCAUCUAAUUCAAAUUAUUGUCCGUAUUAUGGAUUAAUGAUGUCAUAUUCAUCUCAAGCACCACUUAUUAUUCUUCUACUCCAAUGGGAAAUAAAAAUGUUUCGAAUAUUGGACUUGAUGAAUUUCCUGAAUUUUCUACACAAAUGACUCUUGGUGGCAUGAGUGGUGGUCAUGAAGCCACUGCAAAUGCAGAGGAUUCAACUUUUGCUCGCUGAAAAAUCCCCAAAUGGAUCAGUGAUCAAAAUUUGGUUCUAAUUAGUGGUGGAUUAAAUAUGGAACAAACAGUGUUAUUAGUAGAAACCAAAAAAGUGAUUCAUAUUGGGGUAAAAUUGUUGAUUACUCUAAUAAGCAUUGCUCAUUUGAUCCUCCAUGGAAUGAGGUCAUGUAUCAUAUUGCAUAGUAUGAUUGUUGAGGAUGAACGAGAUACAUAUGCUCAACAUUUGACAUAUUAUGAUCAAUCUGAGGCAAGUGGGUUUAGUACACCAGAGUCAUUCUCAACCGAGGUGUUACCUGCAUUUGAGAAUCAUGUGCGUGUUAGACCUGUGAUGCGUAAUUCAAAUGUAAAUCACGAAUUGCAAGCAUGUCUAGUCAAACACAUAUGGGCAAAGUUCAAAAUAUUUUGUUUGUCAGUUGGAUCUAUUGUACUAAUUAAGUUAUGUGUGUUUCAUUUUAGGUUUGUUUUGUGCUUAAUGUAUUGUAUUUCAUUUUAAGUUUUUUUUAAUUUUAUUAGUUUUAAUAAUGACUAUCCAUAUAUCUCGUCUUUAUUACUUGCAAGAAAAAAAAUUAAUUAAGAAUAUAAAGUUAGAAAAAUAAAAUUUAAAUAAGUUAUUUAGUUAGAAUAAAAUAAAAUAUUUAACUCUUAAUUAUUUUAAUUUUAUUUCAAUCGAUAAUUGUUAUUCAUAUAUAAUCACAAAAAUAAAAACAUAAAAAGAUAAGAAUAUGAAAUAAAAAUGGUGGGGUAGGAUGUUGAAUUUUAUUAAACAAAACCAUUCUAAUGAGUAAAAGAUGAAUGAGUGUACUAUUAGGUGGAAGAGAGAGAAGGUGAUGUGGAGUGUAAAAAGUGAAAAACGAGGAUGUUCAAUAUGUAAAUCAUUAUACAUAGUAAUAUGUUUAGGCAUUAUUCUAUGUUGCAACUUAUUAACUUUUUCUCUUAAACGAGUAUUCCUAUUUAUUAAGUAAUUUCUCAUCCAUUCACACAUUGUUUAAAUUGGUUUGUCUUUACCAAUUAAAAUUGUGCCAUUAAAGGCUUCAGACAAAUUAUUUAUUAGUUUAUCAUAUUUAGGAUAAACAGAAAAUGCAUAUGCUUACAUCAUGAUUUAGUAGGUAUUUUAGAUAGUCAUUCCCAAAGCCUUCACAUUAAUAACAAUCUUCAAUUCUUUCAUCUUAGCAUCUCGGACUUAUAUUGAGCAAGGUCCUAUCAUCAAGUCUCUAAUAAUUGUAUCUCCUCCAAUUUUUUGGUUUGAAAUUAGCAUAUAAAUGUCUAAGAAAGAGCAUGUGCUUAACCCUUUGUUAGCUAGAAUUUUCGACAAGAUUAAAAAAUCUCAGCAUAAUGAGAAGACUUGAAAAAGUUGAGAGUUUAAAUGGACAUUUGAAGACAUGUUAUAUUAAAGAAGUCGAAGUCUCAAGAUGAGAGAUAAAAAGUGGGACUUAGUAUUUUUCAGAAAGAAAAAAAACGAGUAUUUCCUUUAGCACCUCGACGACAUUGUUGCUCAGGUUUUUUACGACAGCAAGAUGCAUCGACCAACAACGUAGAGAGAAACGAGUUUCAAUGAGCAAAUGUAUGAAUCUUGAAACAUCAUUUCUAUUCAAAUUUCAAGCUUUUUACUUCUUUUUAUAUUUUUUACAAAUCUAUUUUCAUUUCUCUUUUAAGUUCAUUGUCACUUUACAUUCGCUUUUACAAAGUUCUACCUUUUAACAUUGUCACAAACACUUACAUUUUUAAACAAUCUUCUUUUUACAUUACUUUUUCUCAAAGAUUUUGACCAAGUCGAAACCCAUCACUUUUCUACACAAAGCUAUAAAAAAUAUUUUAGCACUAUGUCCUCGGAUUAUCUGGUUGAUCCUGUAAGUAACCUUCAAUAAGAAACUAUCACUUGUUUACCAAAUUUCACAAUAAACAAAUUGGCACGCCCAGUAGAACUUGUGCUAAAAUUCUUAAUAAUAAUAUAUAUAUAUAUAUAUAUAAUAUUUUUAUAUUAUACCAUAGUUUUGUCUUAUAAAAAUUGUUCUACGUACAUGAAAUUGACGUACAUGAAUUGUUCUAAAUAUUUUGUAUGCGUUUAAGAAGUGGAAAAUCUUUACCAAAAAUGAUGCGUCCUUCUAUGGAUAAUCUCAUUUCACAUAACAAUGUUCAAAAUAUAGUGAAACAACCAGUCCGAUUGACGGUUGAAGAGGCAGUUGUUUCAACGUCCGUUAGAACUACUGCUCAUGUGGCAUCGUCAAUGCUAGUUGCACCAAUACCGUCAUAAGGGAUGGCACCUGCACCACAGCCAGGAAAUACCCCAUUUAACCCUAUAGUUGCAAGACCACUGUUUGGUUUUUCAAUGUCAAUGAAUAAUAGGGAUUACCCUUAUGGCAUGCCAACGUCAAUGUUUGUUGGAAUUCAUACUAAUAUGUCGACAUAUAGCGACAAUGCAAACAAAACAAAAAUGGUUCCCUCCCUUACACUUAAGUCACACAUUGUCCUCAAUAAAAGAAUAAAGAUAUAAUAUAAGAGUGGGAGAAAGGAAGAAGGGCUCCCUGAUCAAGUUGCCUUGCAGGUUGACAUUUUUCCUACAGAUAAAGUUAUUUAUGCAACUGAAGCUCUCGAUAUCCCGACUGCCCCAACCAAAUUGUCCAUUGAACAACCACCUUCCUUAGAGCUUAAACCAUUUCCUGAUAAUCUGAAAUAUGCAUUUUUAGAGAUGAAUGAAAAGCUACCGGUAAUAAUUUCAUCUAACCUUAACUUUAAUCAAGAAGCGAGCAUUCACAAUUUUUGAAGAUGCAUAAGAAGGAGAUUGGGUGGACCUUAGCUGAAUUACCGUAUUAGCCCCUCCAUGUGUAUGUAGAGGAUUUUUCUUGAAGAUGGUGCUAAAGCAGUGAGGUAGACCCAAAAAAUACUUAACCCUUUAAUUCUUGAUGUUGUUAAGAAUGAGAUAACCAAGUUUUUGCAAGCAGGUAUCAUAUAUCCUAUCUCUUACAGUAAUUGGGUAAGUCUAGUACAGGUGGUACCUAAGAAAUCUGGCCUUGUAGUGGUAAGAAAUGAAAAAACGAACUUCUUCCCACUAGAGUUCAAAAUAGUUAGAGAGUUUGUAAUUAUUACAAGAGAUUGAACCAGGUAACCAGAAAUAAUCACUUUCCUUUACCAUUCAUUGAUCAGAUGCUUGAACGAUUGGCUAUUAAAUCACAUUAUUGUUUUCUUGAUGUUUUUUCAGGUUACAUUCAUAUCCAUAUUGCACCCGAGGAUCAAUAAAAGAUAAUUUUCACGUGCCCAUUCAGUACAUUUUCUUACAGGAGGAUGUCAUUUGGUAUAUGCAAUGCUCCUGGCACGUUCCAGCAAUGCAUGGUUAGUGUUUUUACUGAAUUUAUUGAAAAUUUCUUGGAAGUGUUUAUGGAUGACUUUACUGUUUAUGGUUCUUCAUUUGAUGCAUGCUUGAAGACUUUGGAUAUGAUUUUAGAAAGAUGCAUUGAAACUUUGAUACAUUUGACGUCACUUUCAACUUUGAUGAUGUCGCUACGCGAAAAAUACAGAGUCGCCAUCGAAUUUUAUUUAUUCCAAAGGAACAGGAAAAUAUCGAGAAAACCCCAAAAGAUGGUCAUCACAACCAUGAACAGGUUAGAAAGUCGGCUAUGCAAAAGAAAUGUAUUAACACUCCUCACAUCCAUUGUACUCGAUGGGAACCAUCGAGGAUGUAUACGCUUGAAUGGGUGUCGUUAUCUUAACGCUUAUUUGCUAAAGUUUACGGAGUGAAAAUGGAUUUUUUGUUAGUGUGCUCGCCAAGGGUUUGGCCCUCUGUAUACGUGCGUUUUCGACGCCAUGAGAUUUGGUGUGCAGAAUGGUUCUUUCGACAAAUGAAGGCAUGGGAUAAACGGUUUUUUGGUUGAUAAGUGUUGUUCGACACUUCGACAAAAUGGAAGCUUUGCUUUGAUAUUUCGACAAGAUAUCUGCAGAAGGAAAGGCACCUUCGACGGACAUGAAGGAUGUUGUAGUAUUUUGACAACUCGACAAAGUCUGGAGAGAGAUGUCAUUUCGACGUAAAGUGUAAAUACUCAAAUUCAGAAGAGUUGUGACGUUUGGCAGAAGACGCGUGGAAGCAUCUGGCGAAAAGAAGAAAGCCGUUUGUCACAGUUUUAAGAUUGGGUAGUUAGUAACGGUUAUGUUAUUUGUAUAUAAAUAGGGUAGUUGUUGUCUGAAAAAGUGGUGUGAAGAAUUACUUAUACAAAAUUCCUGAAAAUACUCAAAGUACCCGUGUGAGAGAAAAGAGUCAUAUUUGGAACAUGUAUGUGUAAACAAACACCGAUUCCUUCAAAGUUUAUUUUAUAAAAUUCAAAGUUCUUUACAAAUUCCUUUUAUGUUUUCCAGUCAUUUAUCUUUCUGCACUUUAUCCUUUUCGACACUUUACAUUUCAUCAGUUAUUUUCCGCCAUUUACUUUAUCUUGUUAAAUUUACAUCUACUUAACAUUUUAAUCAACAUAUUUCGACAUAAAACACUGAGAGAACAGAAAUGAAAUAUACAAAAGUGAUUCUAGACAUCUUCAAGACCAUCUAGAUCUGCACAUGUCCUAGGAUUUGUGUGGUUGAUCCUGCAAGUAACCCAAUUCUAUGACAUCUUCAAGACCAUCUAGAUCUGCACAUGUCCUAGGAUUUGUGUGGUUGAUCCUGCAAGUAACCCAAUUCUACAAGUUUUGGUAAACCAGAGGUUGUUCGCCAAAAUUCACAGCGAACACCCUCGUGCCUACGUAUGCUCACUUGUUGAAGUGAGAAAUCAGAGCCUCGUAGUUCGUGGUAUAAAUUUUUUGUUUGUUUUGUUGAUUUUAUAACUUGAAAAAGGAUUUUCAGAGUGAUGCCUUAAGGCGCAAACAAAAGGUUUGAUGAGUUGAUGUUUGUUUUUAGGUUUGAAAAGAUAGUGUUCUUGACUCCGGAUUGCACUAAAGACUACGGGCAAAGGUGAAUAUGUCGAACUACCAAGUCAAGCGUCUUGUAUCCAAAAUACUCAUAAUGAGGGUAGGGAAGCGCCAUUCUCAUCCCUUAUCUACCACUUAAGACUCGUGACAUACAAUCCUAAUCGUAUUUUAUGAUAUUUUGAAUUUGAUUUGAUAAAAUACCACUUGACGUUGGAUGAAGGAUUUAUUUAUUGUUUACGAAACGGUGACGAUCCUAACUCCUAAGGUUGGUUAACAAGCAACAAUAAGACAAAGGAAAGUGAGUAAAAUGUACACGAAAAUUAGGAGAGGGAUACAUGAAAAAUACAAGGGAUUUGUGCGAUAAAUAAAUGGGUCUCGUUGUAAGGUGGCCCAAGAGAAAUCCUUGUGUGUGCAUUGUGUCAUAAGCUAACAAGCGAAUAAUGGAAUUACAAAGCAUGUCUCCCUAAGGUAGUGCCAUAAAAGCUCUCUUGUAAUGAAAGAUUACAAGUCCAUAAUGCUCCAAGUUGCAUAGGUCAAUCACAUUGGUCCAAGGUCCAAGCAAAGGUACAAACGAGUCAUCUAAGUUUCCAAGCUUAGGUCAUACACAAGGUCCAUAUGAUCCAUAAUACUCCAUGUCUACUUCUAAGGUAAAACAUCAAGUCCAUAGUCCAAUAGUCCUUAAAUUAGGUCUUUUUAGUAUUUUCCAUUUUAUCAUAUUUUUGUUCGUUUUAGAUUAGAUAACAAGAUAAAGAACAAUCGAGAAAUAAAAUGAUAUGAAGAUAAGGUGCAUGAAUGCUAAUGGACAAGAAAAGAAUGAUUACUUGAGACAAAUCAAAGGACUCAAAAUAUAGGGCAUUAAGGGAUAACCAUAAAUGAUUCAAAGUGUUGAAAAUGAUCCAAUGAUCAUUUAUCGACAUGUUUGAAUCAAAGAAGAUUGAAUCAACUGAAACAUCCAUCUAUCAAUAAAUUGAAGUGUGAAAGAUCAAUCAAUCAAACUAUCAAAAAAUGAAUAAAAGUUGAGAUAAAGAAUUAAAAGUUAGUAAUUCGAUGUUAAUUUGCAUAAAUAUAUAAUUAGGGAUAGUUCCUAACAAAAUAAAAUCUAAUCAAACCUAAUUAUCUAAUCAUCAACACCUUUAAACAAAUCUAAAAUUCUAAUUAUCCUAAUAUCUAAAAUUCUAAUUAUCCUAAUAUUCUAAAGUGCUUAUUCAGAUAAGCAGCAACACGUUUGGAGCUACAGCUUUCAUCUUCGCCUCCUCUCAUCAUCAAUCGCGGAAGAAAAAGCUCCUCACGUUGCAUCACAAUGUCCACGCGAUUCAAUGUUCUAAACGCUUCAGGAAAACACAACUGCGAUGUCGGGGCAAGCUCGAUUAUUCUUCAUCAGACGCGAAAUUGAGGAUGGAAAAAUGAAGAACACGACUUCGAAUUGCAAUCCUUCUCUAAAAUCAACAUCAGUAUCCAAACAUGAGUCAUCAUUUGCAUGCCUAAAAACAGAGAACACGAAAUUGAAAUUGAAGCGAGAAUCUCACCGGAUGGAAGCUUCGAUGCGAAUAAGUAUGAAUUCCCUCCCUUCGAUUUCAAUUUUCUUAUCUUCUUCUUCCUCCUCUGUUUGAUUUCGACUUGCGGUAGAGUUGCGAUGAAUCAUUCCGAGAGAUUGUUGUGUGACUUGAGAUUCAGCUUUAAGAAUUUGUGAAUUAUGGUGGAUGAGUGAAUGAACAGGUACAAUUCUGCAGAUCGAAAAAAUGAGUGGGAAAUUUGGUGAGAAAUUGAGUAGUAAAAAAUGAAAUGUGAGGGUUUAUGUUUGAUUUAAAGAAGUGUGCAGAAAAAAAUGAAAGGGAAUCGAGAUUUACAGAUUAAAAAAUGAGAGGGAAUCGAGAGAGAGGUUUUGAAUGAGGAAUGUGGUUUAAAUAUAGUGAGGUGAAUUCACAGUGAGAAAGUUAUGUUAGUUUAGAAUUCUGUUAGAAGGUUGUUCUAGGAUUGAAUUCAAUUAUGAGUUUGAAACUCUGUUAAUAACUGUAAUAAAACUGUUAGGUUGUUUAGGAUUGAAAAUGGAUCCUAUUAUUUUCUGUUAGAAUUAUUGUUAAUUUAUGUUACUUUUGUUAUCAUGCUUGGAUAUGAAUGUUAGUAAAUGGAUUAGAAAUCAAUAAAACUUGUUAUGUUAGGACUUGCUGGAUUUCUGACUUGCUAUGUAGUCAAGGCAAACAUGGAAGGUUAGGGAAAUUAAGUUAGCUUUGGAUGAAUUAUUUUGAUAGUUAGUUGUUGAUUUUGUUAGAACUGUUAUGUGAAAAUUUUAGGUAUGUUAUACGUUUCAUGAUUCUUGGCUAGUUAACAUGUUAUUAAAAUGCAACCUAUGUGACAAUAUCAUGAAUGUGAAAUGUACAUCUGAUGUUAUUGAAUGCUUGAAAUUCUGUUAGUGAGCUUGUAUGCUUGAAUGAAAUGGUUAUUGAAUCGUAGACUGUUUUUCUUGGAGGAUGGGUUAUGUGAUUGGAUGGAGGGAGGCAUGACCAAAUGGAAAUGUAUAAAGCAUAGGAGAUCAAUGACGGGCUUCCGAAAUUCCAAGCUUCUUCCCUUUUGAUACGAGCUAUAUAAAUAGCACGGGAUGGUGCUAACAUGAUGUAAUAAUAUUAGGACAUGGAUUAGCUUAUCUUCUUAUGCUUGUAAUGGAAAAAAAAAUCACUUAUAAUCAUUUAUGUCAAAAAAAUGCUUAUGUAAUGCAAUUUAAAUUGUGAUUCUUUUGAAAGUGUUGUCGCCCGAGGUGAAUGCCUCGUAAGCUUCAAUGUUUCAAAGGGAUCUAUGACUCUAAGAACCUUUUAGAACAUUGGAUAUUUUUGGUCAA
This 83476-nucleotide long non-coding RNA is filed under the name Lathyrus oleraceus (garden pea). RNAcentral's name for it is "Pisum sativum (pea) long non-coding RNA (PSAT_LNC031008)". Lineage: Eukaryota; Viridiplantae; Streptophyta; Magnoliopsida; Fabales; Fabaceae. The record is from RNAcentral.